UUUAUUAAGAAAAUGAAUAGACAAUACGAAGAGAUAAAGUACAAUGAAGAGGCUAGAUCUAGCCCCAAGGAUCAACAAGUGCACUUGGACAUCUCAACUAGGUUGACAUUCCCAUAUCUAGACAUAAACCAACAAAAUUACACAAAUUUAGAGCCAAUACAUAAAUAAGCAAAAAUACAACCAGCACAUGACUCAAAACAUUAAGAAACCUCAUGCUUAGUCAUGGGAUAUGAUGUUUUGGUGCUAAGGGGGUGUCAACCUAGUUGAGAUGUCUGGGUGCCCUUCUGAUCCCCCGCCUUUUGCUUUAUGCUUCUUUAUUUUUCUCAUUGUAUAUACCUCUUAUACUUUCAGAUUUUAUCAUUAAUAAAGAAGUUCGUCUCCUUUUCAAAAAAAAAAAAAAAGAAAAUUAAGAAACCGAGACAAAAGCAAAGACUUAAUUGCAAUACAAGAACCAAAUUAGAAUUAAGCAAAUAUACAAUUGCUUAAUCCUAAUUAAUCAAAAAAACUAAUCCUAAUUAAUCAAAAAAACUAAUCCUAAUGCUACUAAUCCAAGGAAACUAAUCCUAAUCUAAUCAAAAUAAAUAACUAAAUAGUGUUUUGGGGACACAUUAGACAAGGUACUUUCAAUGACAACAGGAGAAACACGAGUAGAAUGUCGGUUACCUGGAGUUUCAGAGUAUGAGAUUGGGUUUGUGACGAGUCCUAUUUGGUCCUUGUUCAAUUGAUUGGACCUUUUUCUAGUAUAAAACUUAAACUUAGGAUUCAGAUUAUUUGAAUCUUUUUGUAGUAAUUGUCCCCCUGAGUUAGAAGGUUUUAUGCUUGGCAACGUUUUGAAGAGAGACAGAUACAUCUACAUUCCAAAACGUACCAUCUUCUAAAUUUGAUGUAUUCUCCCCUGAAGAUAGUUUUGGGUGAAAAAGGUUGGUUUUCUAAAAGUGACAUCCGUUUUUUUUUUGACGAUCAAAACAUUUGUACCCCUUUUUGUUGGAAGCAUAACCCAAGAAAAUACAUUAAUAGCUCUAUGGUCUAAUUUUGAUCGAAAGUGACUCAGAAUAUGCACAUAACAAAUACACCCAAACACUUUAAGAGGUAACUAAGAGGACAAACGAGUAGUUUAGAAAGACUGAAAUCUGAAUCCUUCUGAAAAAUCGGAUUUCACAUUCUAUCCAAGGUACGAUUCUCAACAUCUCAACAUGUCCCCUCAAGCUGGUGUCUCUUUUGGUUUCACCAAUCUUCACCGGAUCUCAAUUUCUUUUUAUUAGACCGAAUACCAUUUUGGGCUUUAUGGACUUUGAAAUCACGUGAGUUUGAAUGAAGUAGAAUAUUUGUAUUCUAAUCAUAUAUUGUAAGAUACAUAUCCUAUGUAAAGGGUCUAAUACAUAAAUGGAAAGAAUAAUAUUGAUAAUAAAAUAGAAUCAUUUAUAAGUUUACAGAUAAUUAGUUUAUUUACAACCAACAGAGCUCUAUACAUGCUUGCCACCAAGAUUGAUUUUAUUCAACCAUUUUAGCAAAAGCAACCUAUAAAUCCAUCUGGAAAAUUUCUGCUUUAUAACACAAAAUUUGUGAAGGAAGAAGUUGAAAUAAACUUAUGAAAAGGGAGGCAACAAAUCAAAACUGGCCAAGAGUGAAUCCUGAAAAAUAGUUUAGAAAGGAUGUAUAUAACAAGAGAUCAAGAAAGGAUGUGAAAUCCAAUUCCUUAUCCUCAAAUGCAUUCAUUCUAAAUGAGCCAAGGAAAACCUUGGUUGACGAUGAAAGCCCAAGCGUUCUUAUUCUCAUCUUUGAAAGGGUGGCCGAUGAGGUGCAUAUUUUUUUUGAAAAGGAGACGGCCUCUGUACAAAUAUAUUAAGAAUGAGACAUAAGCUUAUAGUACAAGAGGAUUAUACCAUGGGCAAAUAAACCAAGGAUUAGGAAGUGCACUUGGGCAUCUCAACUAGGAGGAGCAUAUUAAGGAGGAUGAGAAGAUCAUUUCGGAUGAUCAAGUUGUAGUUUAAUAUUCUAAGAUUCUCCUCCAAAAAGAUUGAGCUUAGUCACAGAAAACCAUGCACGAUUGUCUCAUUACUCUGACGACAAAGGACCCACCAAUUAGGGGCAGAAGCAAUCCAAGGAGCCUUUUUAACAAGGACGUCAACAGUGUUUAUGCUACCAUGAUGGACCUCCUAUAGAAAGAAGCAAAUCUUCCUAUGGAUUGGACCCUUCCAAAUAUUCUUAUAAAGAGGAGCAAACUGAUUACAGUCAUUGGAACCAAGGUGAUGAGUCAGGGACUUCGCAGUAAGCUGCCCACUGCAAUCCAGAUUUCACCUCCAUUUGUCAGUAACAGCGAUACUUCGAGUGGCAACAAGUAAUGGGUAAAGAUUAGCCCAUUCAAGGAUCCCAUCAUCCUUAAGAUUUCGUCGUAGCUCAAGGUCCCAUGCCUCAUAAUCAGAAUUUCAGUACUUUGCAAUAGAAGCAUCCUUAUCUCUAGAGAGAGCAUAGAAUCUGGGACAAGAAACUUUAAAUGGAGAAUUUCCAGUCCAUGUAUCAUUCCAAAAGGAUGUAGAAGCCUCAUUUCUCACCGCAUAAGUAACUUUAUUGUGGAUAAGCUCUUAUUGCUUUUCAAUAUGGACCCGCAGUCCCUUGGAUUACUUGAAAAACCAGCCUUGUGUAUUCAACAGUGUCCCAUACUUUGCAUCAAUAACUCUUCUCUUCUCCUCAUGGUCCAGACAUUGGUCUCUUUUUAAAGAAUUCUGAGGUGAAACCAUGUGGGCCUAGUGAUUUAUUAUUACCAAGGUUAGAAAUAGCAUGCUAAAUCUCCAUCUCAGUAACUGGGGCCUCUAAGGCAAUGGUUUGGUCAGCUGUAAUAGGAUCCCAAUAUCGUCAGUUGGAAGAGAUUGAUUACCUCUUUGUUUGGUGUAACAACAUUGGUAGAAAUCAAGAAAUUCUGCUUCAAUGUCAAUGCAUCAAGAACACUGACCCUUAACCCUAACUGCCUUCGUCUAUUAUUACAUCUUUCUCCAAGAUGCUAGCAAAUGCAGUUUCUUGUUCUCUAUUAAAAAAAAAAGGUUACAUAUUCUCUUUCCAGACUAGUUCUUGAUUGAUGUUUAAUACUAAUUACUAAUUUUUAUGUUGAUUAGGAUAGUAUAGAAUUUGAUAAGGCAGCAUCAUCAGAGAGAAGUUUGAAAACUGUUGGGAUUCUGGCAAGGCAAGGAAAUGGCAUUGUAGCUGAUCAGGUAGCGAAUAUUUUAAAUUAGUGGGGACAAUGUAUUUCAGUCAAUUUCCUUGAUUACCCAUUGUUUUUCUGUUCGAUAUUAUAUUGUUAAACUGAAAAUAAUUGCCCAGUGUUCUUAUCACCUUUUUUUAAAAUGAUUAACAGGCUGUUCGUCCGGUGGCAGACGGUGAAAAAGUUGCUUUGCCCGGUAAUAUCACAUUUUUUUCUUUCUUUUGUUUUGUUUUUUUUUUUUUUGGGUGGGGGUUGGUUAUAGAAAACAAAAAAUUAUAGCUAAUACAAAACGAGGGGAAACGAGAUGCUCUAAAAGACCAACAAGGUUGUAAAAAGUACUCUUAAUUGGUGUCUCCUUAAUGGUGUUUGUAAAGUACUCCUAAUGGUAUUUAUAUAACAAGAUCUCAUAAUUAUAGAUACCGUUAACGAGACACCAAUAUGGGAUUAGUGUUAACACUUCCGCUUCAUGUCAUGUUUUCAGGACUUUUUGGAUGUUUAAAAUGAAACUCACGAGUUUAUUAACAUUAAAUUUAAAUAAUUUACUUUUCAUCAAUGUUUUACGGAUCCUAAAAUAAACUGUAUUAGAUCUCCUUGGACUAUUUCAAUUAACUCUUGUUUGUUUGGAAAAUCUUUAUUUUGAGUUUAAACGGUCAAUUGGUGUUGGUUCAAAAUUUCAUGCUUGGUAGUAAUAACCUCAGUUAGGGAUCUCGAAAAGUCGGGUCAUUACAACUUUACUCUUAUCGAUGUGCAUUUAAUUGUCAAUUGAUCCAGUAACUAUCUACAUUUUUCUGAUAAAUGUAUAUGAACUUUUUUCAUUAACAUCAAUGAUGAUUGCAUCCUUCUGUUUCUGGAAACGCAGUGAAUUCCACUUGGGGGAUUUCAUCUAUUUUUGGCAGUGCUAGCAGUGAUAGCCAUGCUCCAGUUAAAGAAAAUUCAUCAAAAAAAUCAUUUGCUGAGCCUUUGCAUGGUGUGGAGCAAUCUUUCGCAAUGAUCCACUUGAGAGAGGUUAGUCAUAAUACCACAAUCAACGGCAUUGAGUUUUGUUGCUUUAGCCACUAGCUGUCUUACAUAUUUCAUUUUGUUUUUAGCCACCAGCUGUCUUGAGGCCCUCAGAAAGCCUUACGGAGCAGGAGGCUAUGGAAAUUGCUAUAACUAAACUGCUAUUGAGAUCCUACUAUGACAUCGUUAGGAAGAACAUACAGGACUAUAUACCCAAGGCAAUCAUGAACUUCCUAGUAAGUUAAAUUUUUUACUAAUACCACCAGUUCAUAUCAUAUUUUUCUUCAAUUAAUUACCGGAAGCCAUGAGAAACAGAACCGUUUGCUUUUUUGUUAUAAAUUUAUUAAAAUUAUUGGUGGUUGCUCUAUUUAGUUGGGGGCUCUUUGAGCUUUCUCCGCUUACUUUCCAAAGCUAUGGGUUCUCGGUAGCCUUUGGUUCAGUUUUUAGACUACCGCUUGUUGUGAUGAGAUUGGUCUUUCAGACUCACUUUGCUCAUUUUUUUUGUUCAAUCCACUCGGUGUUUCUCAUUGUGGGAAUUAUUUUCUAUAUGUUGUUCUUUUUGGUCCUUUGAGCAUUAAUUGUUUUUCAUUUAGUCAAUUAAAUGUUCUCUCUUGGUCAAGAAAAAAAUCAUUAAAAUGCAUCUCUUUCAUCUUGUUAGUCAAACAAAGAAUUGUAUCGCUUCUUUUGAGAUGAAAGUUGUUAUAUAUUAAAAAAGAAGAAAAAAACAAAGUAUGGUAUCUGUUUAAUUAAUAGACAUGUUUAUGCUGUUGUGGAGUGAAAAUUUCUAAAUCUUGUCUUAUUAAUUCACUAUUAUGAUCAAGAAUAAAUACAAUUAACUAGUCACCAUAGGUAUUAGAAUCAAGUUGAUAAUAGACAUGUUUGUAUUAAUGCACUAGAAUCAAUGUCAGUAUGUGAUGCCUGAUAAUGUAGAGCAUGUCCACCUUAAACUUCUCAACUGUUCUAUUAUGGCUUCUUUGGCCUUCGACAUUUCUUCUCCCUUGUUUGCACGAGGGUUAUUUUCUUUCCCUUCCACUUAGAUUCUUCUUUGCUCUGAUUACCCACUUUAAAAGAUUCUUCAGCAUGUCCUCACAACUAGAGAUGAUGAACAAAAGACUAUACUUCGUACCUCAGAGUUCAGCCUCGUGCCUUCUCCCUUAGCAGUGUAUUCUAUGUAAGCGGGUGGUGGAGGAAUAUGCUUAUUUGCUUUGGCAGUAUCCUUUUGUUGAUAUCUGGUGCCAACUUCAGUAUUUUACAGAUACGCCAACUUCGUUGAGUUUUAAGUUUAGAUAGAGAGCUCAUGGAGGAAGCUUUUAAUCCUUGUUUGUAGACAUUAUAGAUCUCACUGUAGGUUAGUUUUUGGCAUAUGUUGCAGACCAAUGGGCUUGAGAAGAAUAGGGAGAUUCUUCAUUUUCUAAUGCUGCAAACGCAGCGUUUAAUGAUGUGUAAGCACAAGUCUAGGGACAACUGACCAUCUAACUUAGCAGCCCUACAGUCCAACCAAUCAACUUGCAAAAGUUAUAUUUUCCCCUUUCAAACUACAAUCCUUUUGAGGUAGGCCGACUGGAUAAACUCAUCAGGACCUAGUUGAUUAGACAAGUUUCACGUGUUUUGCAAUACCACCUUCCUACUGAUGUAUAUUCAGUUUCUUCCUGUUUUUGUCCUUGUUUUCCGUGCGAGUCCAAGACCAUGUUUUGAGAGGACAACUAAUAGGAUCAUAUUUAUUGCUUAUAUUUUGGUUGUUCUGAUUCAGGUAGUCCACGCCAAACGAGAUCUGCACAAUGUAUUCAUCAAAAAACUUUACCGGUAUGUACCAUUCUUCUACCAUCCUGAUUCUGCUUUUGGAUGCUCGUGACCUAGUAGUAUCUUUAGAAAUUUUUGACAUUCUAAAUUAUGUUUCUUUUUUGGAUGUGAUGUUGUAAAACAGAGAGAACCUGUUUGAAGAAAUGUUACAGGAGCCUGAUGAAGUGGCAAUGAAGAGAAAGCGUACUAGGGAAACUCUCCGUGUACUUCAGCAGGCUUUUCGGGUAUGAUUUUCCUGGCCACAUGAUAAAUGCUGGUGCUUUCAUCUUGAUAUGACGAGAGAUCGUUCAUGAUGUAAACUAUUCAGACUUGAAAUAACAUAUAAUAAUAAAAUAACCAUUCGGAUGAUGAGUUCUAUAAGAAUAGACAAAUAAAAGGGCAAAAUAAAAAGGAAAAAAAAAAGAAUGAUAUAUGAUCACAUCUCAUAAAGAGAUGAGGGAUUGGGCAAUAAAGCAUCUAGAUUCUAGACAGAUGGAUUCACGAUCAUAAUUUGAUGAAAUUUGUUCAUAGAGCAAAAGAGCUAGGAGUCACGAGACAGUAAACCAUUGAGAAGAUUGAUGACCAACUAACAAACUUUAUUGAGGGUUCUUUCAUGGUUCCCAUUGAAAUAAAUUGUUCAGAUCAGUUUGCUGUUUGAUCUUGACAUUAGCAUGCAUGAAGUUCUAAGAAAAUAUAAUCUUUUCAAUGAUUGCAGACAUUGGAUGAAUUACCGCUGGAGACUGAAACCGUUGAAAAGGGAUACAGUGUGGGCGCCGAUCCAACGGGACUACCCAGGAUCCAUGGACUGCCAACAUCAUCAAUGUAUUCUACAUCCAGUUCCGGUGAUUCAUAUUCUGCUUCUCCAAGGCAUCUGAAAUCCCGUAAGUCAUCUCAUUCAGGAGAGCUCUUGUCUACAUUCCAUCCUAAUGCUGAUUCUCAUGGAAAUGGAUUCUCGUAAACCCCAGGAAAUACUCUGCCUACUAAUCUGUAAGACUUCCAAUGUGCAUAAGAUUCCAAUCAUUACCGAAUGAAGGCAAUAUAUUUGAUUUACUGCUACCAAGUCUUGGAGUUUUACCAUCCAGAACUAUCCAACAUAUUAACAUCUUUUCCUCUACACAACUUCCCGUCUAUCUUGAUAUAUUUUAGUGUUAGAUUGCAUUAUUUAUGAAGCUGCCAUUAGAAUAAAUAGGGAGCAGAUGAACUCUAGUCACUCCAUUUUUUUGGAAAAUCAGCUGAUUGUAAAAAUAUAUUGCCAGUGAAAUUGGUCAGAUUUUGGAAUCAAUGUCUAAUUUUGGAGCUCCUAUAGUUCAUCAAUUGUAAUUUCCCCCCUUUUUUUUCUCUUUUCACUUUAUAUCUUUAACUCUGCUGCUCCACAUCAUAUUGUAUUGAAGGGUUUUGUAUGUUUGGAGAUAUGAGUUGUGGGACUUUUUCAGCCCAAACUUUUGUAAUUGCAAUUUUGAAGUGAUCUUUAUUUUAUGUAACUAAAUAUUGAGCUGUUUUCCAAUCCCACCAAAGCAAUGCAGGAUUGUUUCCAACUUUGCUUAUUAAUUAACAAAGCUGCAUAUAAUAAGGAAGUUUGAAAUGCUUUCAUGUUUACACACUACGCACAGUGAUGAAAGUCUUCUAGUUCUAACCAACAAUGAUAUUAAAAGGAAAAUUAAUUGCUGGAGGGAUGAGAAGAUUGAGGAGUGGUGGUUGAAACGAGCAGUGAUUUUAUCAGUCCUCACACUACACUUGAAAUUUAUUUGAAAAAAAAAGAUAUUCAAAGUCUUCUCCUUCACUUAAGUGAAUUAUUCAUUAGUCGAUUUAAGGCUCUAAUUAUUCAUUAAAAUGCAAGUAUGGCGUGAUGUAACUAUUCAUGAAAUGGUGAAGAAUAUUGUUAUUUACGUCUUAUUUAUUAAUUUAAAUGACUUCCAUCGACGUUCAUGAUUAUUUGCACAAUUCUCUUUGAAAUUUUUGUUAACAUCUAUAAGAAGUAUGAACAAUGGACACUCAAAUUUCAAAUUGCAAAAUGGCUAUAGCUCAAGCGAAAUAAAAUAAUAAAACAAAAUUCAUUGAUAUUUUUCUAAAUUUGAUAAGCCAAAGUAUUUGGUUCAUCGUUAUGAUUGGAAAUCACAUAAAUAAAUCAUAUGUUUAGAGGCAAAAGAAAAUCAAUGUCUCCAAAACUAUCUACAGUUUCAAGGAGUUGCUAAAACGUUUGAAUAAAAUGCAAUUACACACGAGUAGAGUUUUACAGAUGAUUAGAUUUUCGAAAAAGCAAAUCGAAGUCCUUUUGGUUGUUGCAGCAAUUCUGGUCUCUUUUUCUCUCAUCAUAAAGGAAAAAUAAAAGUGAACAAUGAUGCUGUGCCUGCAGUCAUUCUCAUUCAUGAUGAAGAAUUUAGUUUUAGCCUUUGUUCUUCUAGAAGCAUUAGUUCGGAGCGCCAAGUUUCUAGUUUCGAUAACUUGUUCGCCUGCUCUGGCUUCAUAUCUUGAAGUGGUGUUUUUUGCAACUGAGCUUCUGCCAUUCGAAUCUGCAAAUCCAAACAUGAGAACAAUGCAAGGAAAAUUAUCAAAAAGAUGUUGUAAUGCAUAAGACGGACUAAAGAAACUUGAAGAAAAAAACUCAAAUCUUUAGCUCUCAACAAAGCUACCCAUAAUUCACUAAAAGAAGUUUAUGUAAAUGGUAGCUUAGAUUGUUAUAAGCUUUGGCACUGAGUUCUAAUAUUGCAAAAACAGAUGAAUUUCUCAAACAAGUUGUACUUGCAUCAAGUACAAAUAACAUUAUAGGCUUUUGAAUCUUACAACUAGAUUUCUUCCCAACUAUGCUGAGACUAGGAAGAAGAUUCAUCAGGCACAGUGAAAAUGUUGGAAAGCAGACUUCCUUAUGAUUUUGAACUCAGAUUUUUCAUGGUUCUUAGCAUUAACAAAAGUAAUUUCGUCAAUUCGAACAUGAUGUGCUUUAAGAGGAAGCACUUUUCCUUUUAAAGGAAUCAGAGCUUUUUACUCAACGACAUAUAAAAAAGCUGAACAACUUCUACAUCUCUACAAAUAACAAACAACCACCAGAAUCAUCUACAAUAACCGUCUGAAAACUUAUCCCAAACCCCAACUAUAGUCUGGGGGGCUGUAACUAAUUUGGCAGUUAUAUAAUAUAUUCUUCCUGUACUAUUAACUGUAAAACUAGAACUAAUACUUAUACAACUAGGAAAGGAUGAGAAAGAAUUUCAAGAUUUCUCAAUGUUGGAUUUUUGAAACCUAAUCAUUCGUUAUGGACUCAUGUUUCCACCUCUUUAAUUUUUAGGGUCUAUCAACUUUGGUAACAAGACCUCGAAGUGGGAAGAUGCAAGAGGAAAGCAGACUGAGAACUUAUUGUAUGAGGUUGAAGCAUGACUAGGAUUUAUAUGGGAAGAUACGCAAUGGACUCCAUGGAGAUAACAAAAAGUUUCAGUGGUAGACCUGACUCAGUUGUUAUGAGAGAGAUAGUUAAGAACCAUGUAGAAGGAAACUCGCUUUGUUGGAAUUCUUUCCUUUUUUUUCUAGGCUUUUUCCUUGUUAGAAUCCUAGAAUAAUUAUGGAAAGAUUAUGGGAAUGUAUUCCUUAAUUUCCUAAAUCUUUUCCUUUUUUAUUCCAUUGUGUACUCUAUUUAUUCUCCCUUGUACCUAUUGCUUUAUUCAUUAGAAAAUAAUAACAACACAAACAAUCGUGGUUUUUCUCCCGGUACUCGGGUUUCCACGUAAAUUGGUGUGAACUCGUUGUCUCUCUUUUCAAUAUGGUAUCAGAGCGGGACAAUGAAAACACCCUAGAAACCCAAAAAAACCAAACCACUUAUGAAAAUCAAACAGAAGGGACAACCAUCAAUUUUAGUGCUGCCGUAGCUGCUGCCAUCGAUGCUCGGAUGAGUGCUGCCAUGGACGAAUUAUUAAGCCGGCUACAGAAAACGUCCGAAAAUAAUUUUCGUCAUUACCGCAGUCGUCCGCGCCGUCACCGGACCACCACGCGCCUGGUUUUCUUCCUCAGACGGCGCCGACCAUCCCAUCUGUCCAACCCUUUUCUUCGUCCGCGGCCUAUAUUGCUCCCCACGCCCCGAUUUAUGUUCUGCCAUCUAAUUCCAAUCGGCUACCAUCGCUUCUGCCGUCAAAUCUGUAUGGCCAGCCACCCAAUGAUCCUAGCUACCAUCCCGAUGUUAAAAACUCUCAAAUUCAUUCAACAUUUGAGGUUGGUGAAUCUUCGGCAUAUUCCAACCGUAACGUGCAAGCUUCCUUGGGAAUAGUUCAUCAACAAUUGGAAGGGCUUCGACAACAGAUAGCAGCACUUGAGGCUACCUUAGGGACGAUAUCCACUCUACCGAUGUAUUCUGAGAAUCCGGUAAACUCGUUCCCUAAUGUAUCCUCUCCUUAUGUGACUAAUACGGUGGCUCAGUCUUCCAUCCACUCUGCUGCUUUUAGUGCAAGAUCUUCUAACAGUAGCAGUGACAAGCAUAAUGGGAAACCAAUUCCUGUCUGCGAGCAUUGCAAAAAACAAUGGCAUACCAAAGAACAAUGUUGGAAGUUACAUGGUCGUCCCCCAGGAAGUAAGAAACGCCCUUCCAACGACAAACAGAACACAAGGCGGGCGUAUGUGAGUGCCAUUGUCCAAUCAGGUAUACCUCAUUCCUUCGGUCUUGUUAGUAUUGAUGGGAAGAACCCUGGAUUCUGGAUUCUGGUGCCACAGAUCAUUUGACUGGGUCCUCUGAACAUUUUGUAUCUUACACUCCUUGUGCUAGGAACGAGACAAUUAGAAUUGCAGAUGGCUCCUUGGUCCCCAUUGCUGGAAAGGGGAAGAUUUCUCCUUGUGCAGGGCUUUCCUUACAUAAUGUUUUGCAUGUGCCCAAACUAUCUUAUAAUUUGCUUUCGAUAAGCAAGAUCACUCAUGAGUUAAACUGCAAAGCAAUAUUCUUACCUGAUUCUGUCUCUUUUCAGGACUUGAGCUCGGGGAGGAUGAUUGGCACUGCCCGGCAUAGUAGGGGACUCUACCUCCUUGAUGACGAUACCUCUUCUAGUAGCAUUCCUAGGACUAGUCUCUUAUCUUCCUAUUUCACUACUUCUGAACAAGAUUGUAUGUUGUGGCAUUUUCGUUUAGGCCACCCUAAUUUUCAAUAUAUGAAACAUUUAUUUCCACAUCUCUUCUCUAAAGUUGAGAUGACUACCUUAUCUUGUGAUGUGUGUAUUCAGGCCAAACAACAUCGAGUCUCUUUUCCCUCACAACCAUACAAACCAACCCAACCCUUCACUCUUGUUCAUAGUGAUGUCUGGGGACCAUCCAAGAUAACAACCUCAUCUGGAAAACGGUGGUUCGUAACCUUCAUUGAUGAUCAUACCCGUCUUACCUGGGUCUACCUUAUCACUGAUAAAUCUGAGGUUUCCUCUAUGUUUCAAAAUUUCUAUCACACCAUUGAAACACAAUUCCAUCAAAAAAUUGCUAUUCUUCGGAGUGAUAAUGGUCGGGAAUUCCAAAACCAUAACCUUAGUGAAUUUCUUGCUUCCAAGGGGAUUGUUCAUCAAAACUCGUGCGCCUACACUCCUCAACAAAAUGGAGUGGCCGAGCGAAAAAACCGUCACCUUCUGGAAGUAGCCCGUUCCCUUAUGCUUUCUACUUCCCUUCCUUCAUACUUGUGGGGAGAUGCUAUUCUUACAGCAGCUCAUUUAAUCAAUAGAAUGCCUUCUCGUAUUCUUCAUCUUCAAACUCCCUUAGAUUGUCUUAAGGAGUCCUACCCAUCGACUCGUCAUGUUUCUGAGGUUCCUCUUCGUGUGUUUGGGUGUACCGCUUAUGUCCAUAAUUUUGGCCCUAAUCAAACCAAAUUUACCCCUCGGGCUCAGGCAUGUGUGUUUGUUGGGUAUCCCCCUCACCAGCGUGGUUAUAAAUGUUUUCACCCACCAUCCAGAAAAUACUUUGUCACUAUGGAUGUUACUUUCUGUGAGGAUCGACCCUACUUUCCCGUUAGCCAUCUUCAGGGGGAGAGUGUGAGUGAAGAGUCUAACAACACCUUUGAAUUCAUCGAACCCACUCCUAGUGUUGUGUCUAACAUCAUUCCUCAUUCCAUAGUCCUACCCACAAACCAAGUCCCCUGGAAAACGUACUACAGGAGGAAUCACAAAAAGGAAGUCGGUUCCCCUACUAGUCAGCCGCCGGCUCCAGUCCAAGACUCUGAACCUCCUCGAGAUCAAGGUAUGGAAAACCCUACUGAACCCUGUACUAAGAAUAUGAUAAGUGAGAAUGACAGGUCUAAUGUUGCUGUUCUUGAAAACGUGGAAGAAAAGGACAGUGGUGAUGAGAUUGAGGUCAGAAUAGAAACCCGUAAUAAUGAAGCGGAACAGGGUCAUACAGGAAAAUCAGAUGAGUAUGAUUCCUCUAUUGACAUUCCCAUUGCUCUGAGAAAAGGCACCAGGUCUUGUACUAAACACCCCAUUUGCAAUUAUGUUUCCUACGAGAAUCUCUCUCCUCAGUUCAGAGCUUUUACAGCAAGCCUUGACUCUACCAUAAUACCAAAAGAUAUCUACACUGCUUUAAAGUAUCCUGAAUGGAAGAAUGCUGUCAUGGAAGAGAUGAAAGCUCUUGAAAAGAAUAGUACUUGGGACAUUUGUACUCUACCUAAGGGACACAAAACUGUGGGAUGCAAAUGGGUGUUCUCUCUCAAAUACAAAGCUGAUGGUACUCUUGACAGACACAAGGCAAGGUUAGUUGCGAAGGGAUUUACUCAAACCUAUGGUAUUGACUAUUCAGAAACUUUUUCUCCAGUUGCUAAGUUGAAUACUAUUAGAGUUCUGUUAUCUGUUGCUGUGAACAAAGAUUGGCCUUUAUAUCAGCUGGAUGUUAAGAAUGCCUUUUUGAAUGGAGACCUCGUAGAGGAAGUCUACAUGAGCCCUCCGCCUGGAUUUGAAGCCCAGUUUGGUCAGCAUGUGUGUAAACUCCAGAAAUCUAUAUAUGGUCUGAAACAGUCUCCCAGAGCAUGGUUUGACAGAUUCACUACCUUUGUCAAGUCCCAAGGGUACAGGCAGGGACACUCUGAUCAUACUUUAUUUACAAAGGUUUCCAAAACAGGAAAGAUUGCUGUUCUAAUAGUUUAUGUGGAUGACAUUGUUUUGACUGGAGAUGAUCAGGCAGAAAUCAGUCAACUAAAGCAGAGAAUGGGCGAUGAGUUUGAAAUCAAGGAUUUGGGAAAUUUGAAAUAUUUCCUUGGAAUGGAGGUGGCCAGAUCUAAAGAAGGUAUCUCCGUAUCUCAAAGAAAAUACAUCCUUGAUUUGUUAACCGAGACAGGUAUGUUAGGAUGUCGUCCCACUGACACUCCUAUUGAAUUCAACUGCAAACUAGGAAACUCUGAUGAUCAAGUUCCAGUUGAUAAAGAACAGUAUCAACGCCUCGUGGGUAAAUUAAUUUACUUAUCUCAUACUCGUCCUGAUAUUUCCUUUGCUGUGAGUGUUGUCAGCCAGUUUAUGCAGACCCCUAAUGAGGAACACAUGAAAGCUGUCAACAGAAUCUUGAGAUACUUAAAAUCAACACCUGGUAAAGGGCUGAUGUUUAGAAAAACAGACAGAAAGACCAUUGAGGCAUACACUGACUCGGAUUGGGCAGGAUCUGUUGUUGACAGAAAAUCUACCUCUGGUUAUUGUACCUUUGUUUGGGGCAAUCUUGUAACUUGGAGGAGUAAGAAGCAAAGUGUUGUGGCCAGGAGCAGCGCUGAGGCUGAAUAUAGAGCUAUGAGUUUAGGAAUAUGUGAGGAAAUUUGGCUUCAGAAAGUUUUGACAGAUCUUCAUCAGGAAUGUGAGACACCAUUGAAGCUUUUCUGUGAUAAUAAAGCCGCUAUUAGUAUUGCUAACAACCCUGUUCAACAUGAUAGAACUAAACAUGUUGAGAUUGAUCGACAUUUUAUCAAAGAAAAACUUGACAGUGGGAGCAUAUGCAUUCCGUACAUCCCUUCGAGUCAACAGGUUGCUGAUGUUCUUACCAAAGGGCUUCUCAGACCAAACUUCGACUUCUGCGUUAGCAAGUUGGGCCUCAUUGAUAUUUACGUCCCAACUUGAGGGGGAGUGUUGGAAUUCUUUCCUUUUUUUCUAGGCUUUUUCCUUGUUAGAAUCCUAGAAUAAUUAUGGAAAGAUUAUGGGAAUGUAUUCCUUAUUUUCCUAAAUCUUUUCCUUUUUUAUUCCAUUGUGUACUCUAUUUAUUCUCCCUUGUACCUAUUGCUUUAUUCAUUAGAAAAUAAUAACAACACAAACAAUUGUGGUUUUUCUCCCGGUACUCGGGUUUCCACGUAAAUUGGUGUGAACUCGUUGUCUCUAUUUUCAAUAAUAUUAAAUCCUAGGGAGAUAGCCACUAUAGAUAAAACUCAUGAUCUCUUAGCCCUUUAUCAAGUCAUGUCCUCUAGAGGGACUUUAGUAUCAUAAAAGACUUUAUCAAGACAUUUAAACUUUGAACAUAAUUCAAAUAUUAUUAAACAUAUAUUUGCAUGCAAUGGAUUGACAGUUUUUCACGAGACUUUGAAGCAAAGAUGAUUAGCAAGAGUCUACCAUGGCAAAUUUGUUCUCACCUUCUUUUUAGUUGCUCUAAUUCUCUUGUCAAGGUCACUGGAAGGUAACUGUGGAUCAUCAAUUGGCUCAGAAGAAGGGCUUUCAACUUUCAGAUUGGUAGAAACAGAAAGUUCAUUCAUCUGGGAACUUAAUGACUGGAUGGGUUCCAACCUAUUAUCUACAUAUGCUUCCUUCGCUUCAGUGAUCUCUUCAACAACCACUUGUUCCAAGACUUUGUCCUUCUCAUGAGCUGCCUGGAGAAAAAGGAAAGUGAAGAAAAAAGCUUUUUGUUAGAAAAUAAAUAAACAGCUAUCCUUAGACUCUAAAUCAUGGUCAAGUUAGAACCAGCACAAAUAUAAAAAUAUAAACUCAACCCGUGAGUUAUUAUAUCAUAAGAUGCCUUUCUCAAAAAAACAAGGUUAAGUUGCAUACGGUAAAAUCCAAAGAUGCAGAUAAAAUAUCUUUCUAACUAUUGAUGUAGUAGGGACUAGUGGUUGAUUAAAUAUUAUCCUUGAUUAAUCCCAUUUAGUAUCUUUUCAUCAUUUUUAAUACUUUCCUUUGCCUUUGUUCACCAAUUGCUCACAUAUAUUCAUUACCAUUUUGAUUCAUAAUAAAGAUUUGAGAUGGAGUUAUUGGAGAGCACUCUCCUUUAGUCACUUAGGCUACACCAGCUACACCAACUAUUCAGAUAGAAAAGCAUGCCGAUUUGAAUACGGAUGAUCUUAUUCCCCAAGUGAUAAUGGGAGGAUAGAAGUCACAACCAUGGUCGAAAAUAGAUAAGAGAUAAAAAAAAGUAGUUUCUUAUAUAUUUACCUAUAUUUUGUCCUACAUUUUAUUGCAUAUGAACACUAAUGGCAAUCUUCAAUUUAUGGUCCUCCCAAAAAAAUUGUUCACGGGACAACUUAGAGAAUCCUAUAUGAAAACUAUCACAAGUUAAUUGUAGGUCUAAAAUAAAACUCUAGAACCUUUAGACUAUAUGCGACAACUCGACUCAAUUUCUGAAAACUCUAUUCCCAGAAGUUGCCAUGGUUUACUUGAGGCUAAUCAUCGCAGCCAUAUAUCAUUUGAACGAGUUUCACCAUCUGACUUUUUAAUGACACACAUGAGAUUCUAAGAUUCAGUUGACCAUAUUACCCAGGGAAAAGAAACAAAAAAUUAACUCCCAUUAAGAUCUUCAAAAGAAAUCCCCACAAUAUUUAAACUGUCAUCAGAAACAUAAAAUAUCCAUCCCAGCAAAGGGAAAGACAAACCUGCAGUCGCUUCUCUUUCUUUCUCUCAUUUCGCUUAGCUGACUUGGUCUUGGUUUUUACAUCUGUUGUCGGAGGUUCAUAGCCAGGAGGUCCAUCGUGCGAUGCCAUCUCCUUUUUCCACUGUAGCACACAGAAAAAAGGUAAUCCCAAUGAAUACCACAAUGAUGACUUCUAGGAUACACUAGUAUAGGAAUUAAACAUCUAGCAGAAAAAUAAUAGAAUGAAAUUGAUGUCUUUCACUUGAAUCAUCAAUUUUCCAGAACAUAUAUUAAAAUCUCUUUUGUUUAGAAUUGUAUCAGCCAAUCAUCAUCAUCUUACCGGAGAAAAAAAUUGACCCACAAAACUGUUGGUUUGGUUUCUCAAGAAGCCCUACUAGGGAAAAGGGAUCUAUAAUUAAGAAGAAUGAGACCUAACAAGUAACUAUUAUAAAAAAAAGGUGACACAGCAUCUAAGAUAAACAUUGAACAUAUUGAGGGGCCAUAUGUUGUUAAAGUCCCUCUCAACUUGUCUAAAGGUCCUACUGUUCCUCUUCCCCAUAGACUGCACAAAUGAGCACACUCCAAGAUUAAAUUUAAGCACAAAAAAAAAAGUCAAUGAGGGUGAUCUGCCUCAUUUUCAAUUUGUAUAUUGAAUUGUGGAUGAUGCAAGAAUUCCAAUGAGUCCUGUAUGAUGUAUAGGCCUCCUAUCGAGGGAGCCUGAUUAACAAGAGGCAGCUCAAGAGAUGUGAUUGUAGACUUAAGUUAUAUUGAAUCAACAAAAGUUAUAUUGAAUCAACAAGAGGCAUGUACAAUCUCUAUACUUCCUUUUCAUUAAAGAUAUAGGAAAUGUAUGGCAUAAAAAUGCUCAUAUCUUUGAUUAAAUUGUUAAAAAGGCACUUACUACACCAGUAUCAGCAAUAGCUCAACCUUUAAGUCACUCUCUACUUUCUCUAAGAAAUCAUGGGUUCAGAAGCCUCCAACCCACUCGUGAGGUAUUAUUUUCCGAAAAGGACUUUUAACUUCCAUUAUGUCAUAAUUUUCAUUUUUCACAGUACUAUUCCAUCACGAUUCAUGUACAUACAUAUUUUAUUUUACUUUUGUGCAUUUCCUCAAAUGAAAUGAUUGUCUAAUGUCAUGGGCUACUGUAUUGCACUCUGCUUUGCCCUUUGCUUCGUCCUUUACAACACACCAAAGUAAAAAUUAACACAACGGUAGCUCAAAGGGCGAUUUCAUUUUCCUAGUAUGAAUUUUCAUGAGCAAGGCACAAAGGGCAAACAAACUAUAUCUCAAUACAAAAGGAAGGAGAAACAACAGAGUGCAGGAAAAGAUGGAAAGAAGAUAAUGUAUGCGCAAGAGGCACACAUACCAGAGCCCCUUUGGACUGGUAAAUUGCGACUUCUUCUUGUGGAACAUAGCCGGCCCUAAUCCGAAUGGGUUUUCGAAGAGUACCAUCGGGUCGCCUUGUUGGUGCUAGAAUCCUUUCUCCUUCUUUUAGGGUUUUGCUCAGCUCCGUCAUUUGCUUGCACAGAUCUUCUCCACCUCCAUCACUACUCCCCAUCGCCUAAAAGGCAAUUAAUUGCUGAACUGCAAAAAUUCAAUAUCAUAUUCAAAAAAGAUUUCCACCUUAUUUUGUCAAUUACUCCAAACUGGAGCAAGUCAUGUACGAUGGCAAAAACUAAAAAGAGUUAUAUUCAAGGGAAAUGACAUGCUUCCUAAAUCCUAAGUGGUUAUUCUCUUAAGUGUCCAUUUGUAUUGGAAGUUUCUUAUAUCCAUUGAAGGCCUUAUGGAGGUUGAACCCAUAACGAUAACAAUGCUGACAUUAGCACAACAUCAACAAAAAACAUAGGCAUGUUCAAACCUUUUAUUCAAUUUCUAGAACUUCAUGACCUUUCAGUUCACUUCUAUCAUUUUGUAAUAACACAGAAAGAAAUCCUAAAAUAAAAAAUAAAAAAGCACAACCUAAUUCUGUAAUAAUAUACCAUCUUUGUGAAGAACUCACAAGAGUUUUUGUUAGGGACAUGAUGCAUAAUCAAAGAAAGAUAAGAUAUGAUAAAGUGAUCAAUCUAAAAUAACAAUUACCUGCUUGGCUAAUAAAAAACUUUAGUAAAGUAGACUAGUGGCAGAAACAAGAACUAACGAAAUAUGAAAACCCAUAAAUCCCCUUAUCAAUAAAAAAAUUGACACUGUAUUUUUUAAAAAGAAAAAAGAAUCAAGCCAAAAUAAAAAUAAGAAAAAAAAGCCUCUCUCUACCUUCCAGAAUUGAAAAAUCAAAACAAUAGAAAGCACAACUGCCAAACAGCCAAAGCAUAGUAAUAUGUAUGCAAAGAAAGAUUACGCACAUACAUUCCUCAAUAGCCAGCCAAAGCUUCUUCCCAAGGAUCCUAAGGAUCUACCCAUUCAUCAAUCCUGAAAAGUAAAGGAAACCAUCAUCAAAAUUCAAAUUACAAAUUUAAGAAAUGGAAAACGUUUUUUUAUAUAAAAAGUAAUGCUUAUUGCAGAGCAUUGAUAUCACUAAUUAAAAUAAAUAAAAAGAAAAUAUAUAUGUGAAGACGGACCAACAAAAUCAUCUUUGAUUAUGACGAGCAUAAGGGCUUUACUUGACACAUAGAUAACGUGAGAUAACUUUGAUUGUUUGCAACCCCCAUAUGACAUAACCAUAGAAUUUUUUAAAUUCUCACUCCUCAUUUUGAAUAGUAUAGAAUAUUUUGCCAUACAAAUAAAAAAAGAAAAACUAUACAUAAUUGAAAGAUGAAAAAGAAAAAAGUUAGUAACAAGCUUUGCAGUUUGAGGAAAAUAAGCUCAAAACCUAGCAUUAUGUUCUGCAUCAAUUCAAAACAGUAUCAUGCUGAUUUGCUUCCAUAAUAUGCAACAUCAAAUAGGCUCUUGAACCCUAUACUUUCUUGCAUGCUCACCAAUCUUAAUCAAGCUACUAAUAAAACUAAAACUUGAAGGGGAAAAAACCCUAAACCCUAUCAUAUGUAACAUCCAAUAGGCUCUUCAUAUUUUUGUUAGUUCUUGUUUUCAGGAUUGAUGAAUGCUUGCUUACCUUUAUGCAUGGGCUCCCCCUCCUCUUUUUUCAGGUUUCUAUGUAUCUAUCAUGGCCCUCUCCUGCUUUUGAUAUAUCAUUCAGCAAUGAACUGUUUCUUAUCCAAAAAAGGGGGAAAACCUCAUAUCCUCAACAACUCAUCCUUCAAUUUCAUACAAAAACACGUAAUUGUUCAGAUCAUUCACUAGUUUUGAAGGACUUGUACACUAAAACCAUUCUUCCUGUUACACUCUCACUUUAGACUCUUAUUAAAAAUGAGAAAUUUUUUGUAUCUAAAUUUUGAUUUUUUCAGUAUAAUUUAAGUUAAAAUAAAUCAGAACACGAAUUGCAAACAUAAGUACAUCCAACAUUUCUUUCACCUAGGGGUAUUUGGCCCAAAAGAGGGAGUUCAGACGAAAAUUGCAAACUCCACACCUAGUUUGGCCCAUGAAGCUGCGGGAAAGAGUUAGAGAGAACAACGUGACAGAGAGAAGGAACAGAAGAGAAAAAAGACUUACCGGCAUCGUUCGGCGGCAGUCGUCGUCGUCGUCCGGUAGAGGAGGUUGCGGCGGCGCUGGUGUGAAGAGACGGGCGAAGAGACGCACGCGGUGGCGGUGGCGGUUGAAGAAGGAAAACUUUUAUGUACUUUUUGUUAUUUUUUUUUAACCUAGUUGACUUAGUCAAACAUCAUACUUUUAGGCCUCUUUAGGCCCAAUUUCAAUUACUAAAGAGCCCAACCAAAUAUGAUUUUGGGAAUUGGAUUGAAAGCCCAAAUUUUGGGAAGUGGGUUGGAAUGAAUUAAUAACUAUAAGUUUUAUACUUAUUAAUGUUCGAGCAAGGGUGCACCUCCACUCAUCUCAACACACAAGAUUCAAUGUCCAACUGGGCUCAAACGGUUGAUUUGUAGGUUGGUUUUAAGUGUACUUUAGGUUUUUAUGAGAUGACCUGCAUGCUCGUUCGUAUUUGGAUUUAACAUUUUAAACCUGAUUUGUAAUAAAUAAACUCAUUAUGUUCUCAUAGUUUCAACUUAACCAUUUAGCUUUUUCACUUCACAAUCUCAUUUCUACUUUGCACCCCUCAAAUUUACAGCAAUUAAUUUGAUUACAAUUCUCGUUCUGCUUCGUUCUUAAUUACUAAUGCAUUUCAAUAUCCCUUAGAUUCUCAGUAAUCUUCAAGAAAAGAAAGAAGCGCAAGAGACAAUCAUAACUUUUUCUUCUUACUAUUUUAAAUUUUAACCAAAUAAAAGGUUUGUUUUUUCUUUUAAAAAAAAGUGAAUACUCAUUCAAAAUGUUAUUAAAGUAUAUAAGAAAUUUAUUAGUAAAAUAUAAGCAAUAAUUCAAAAUGUAAUUUCAAGUAUAUAUUGUUAGUAUAUUAGUAGUUUAUUAUUAGCACUCAUUCAAAUUUUCUUUAAAGUAUGAGAUUAGGUUAGGGUAUCAAUAUUGUAUCUACCCAUUGAAAACAAUAUUAUAGCAUUAGUGUUUUUUCAACAGUUUCGAAAGUCCCAUGAAACACAUAAGGAAAAUGCUUCACAUAGACAAAAAAAAAUAGAGUUAAUUCUAAAAGAGUGAAAUGGUUAUCUAACGAACCUAUUAACUUCUCAUUCAACACGCCACAAUUUUUUGUAAACUUCUACAUCAUUUGUUGUAGUUAUGUCUUUGGUCUUAUAAAAGCCUUUGUUGUUAUUUUUAUUUUUAUGCACAAGAUUUGGCUUGACCAACUUUACUACAUAGAGAUUCUGGAGGCUUCAACCCGGCUUCAGUCAUCUCUUUAAGUAAACGUUUCGCCUCAAUUGACUUCCCGUCCUUGCAAAGGAUUUGAAUGGUGGAAAUAUAACUAGCCACAUUUGGAGUUACUCCAUUUUUAACCAUCUCUUCAAGAAACUUUAAGGCCUUGUAGGAGUUGCACUCUUUGCAGUACCCAUUUAUCAUUGUAUUAUAGAUAACAUCAUUAGGCUGUAGAUGCAUCUCUACCAUUGAUUUGUAUAGUUUUGAUGCCUCAACCAUAUUACCUUUUAUACACAAACCAUGGAUUAGGACACCAUAGGUAUGCUGAUCUGGGACCAAACCAAUUCUCUUCAUGAGAUGAAACAUCUCAUAGGCUUUCUCUAUAUCAUCAGAUCGAACAAACGUAUUCAUCAAAAUUGUAUACGUCACUUUCGAGGGAGAAAUUCCUCUGUCCUCCAUCUCCCUCACUAACUCUGAAACUACAGAAGAAUUUCCUACUUUAGAGAAACCUGAAAUUAAAAUAUUGUAGGUCACUAGAGUUGGACAUAAACCAAUCAACUUCAGUUUUUCGAGAUAACUUAAGGCCUUGUCCAACUGUCCAGUGUUACACAACCCAUCCAUCAACAUGUUAAAUGUUCUAGUAGUUGGAUUUAUAUGAGCUCGUUUCAUUCGUUCUAACAAUCCUUCUGCUUUCGACACUUGUCCCUUCCGGCAUAACCCACCUAUUAGAAUAUUGUAUGUGACUGCAUUACAUGCCACCCCUCUUUUAGAUAUUUCAUCAAAUACCUUAAAGGCAAGGCUCAAUUUUCCAUCCCUACAAUAUUCAGUAAUGAGACUGUUGUAAGUAUAUAAAUUGGGAAGCACCCCCACAAGCUUCAUCUUCUGGUAAAGCUCAAAACCAUCCUUCUUGUAACCUUUCUUGAAAAAUCCAUUGAUCAUGAUAGUAUAAAUAUAUUGGUUAGCAGCCAAACCAAGGUCAUCCAUCCUAGAAAACAUUACUUUAGCUUGAUCAAUGUCACCAUUUCUGCAACAAGCUUCAAUCAAGAUAGUGUAUAUAAAAACAUUAGGAGACACACCCAUCGUCUCCAUUUGAGCCAAAAGCUCAAAGCCUUUACUUACAUUGCCAUUUUCACAAAAGGCUUUAAUCGUAAUCCCAAAACUAUACACAUCAAACUGAGUCCUCCCCAAAUAUUCAGUGAAAAACCCCCAAGUUCUAUCCAGAUUCCCUGAUUUAGCAAGUAAAUCCAAUGCAUUAUUGAAAGAGAAAGAACUCGGAGAAUGCCCUUUAAGGACCAUUAGUUUAAAACUAUCAAGGGAUUGUUCUAAUAGUUGAGACUGAAAAGAAGCAUUGAUAACUGCAUCACGGGGACGACCACAAACAGAUUCAGAAUUCAGAUUUCGUUGUGUUGAAGAAAUAGUGAAGAAAUAUGAGGUGAUCCGAUUAGAAAGAAAUGGGUACACGAAGCCAAUAGAUUUGGGCACCAUAAAUACGAGAAUAAAUCAGGAACUAAGAAUUAUAUAUGAACAAGACAAAAUCUAACAAAGAAAAGAAGGGAAUAAAAAGACUUGGGAUUUCUGUAGCAAUUUCUCAAAAAUGCUAUAACAAACUUCUAUGAAACUUACCAAACUCUAACACAAAACCAAAAUCAUCGGCGGGCAUUAGAUAUUUAAAUAGAGAGAGAACGAGUGGAGGAGACGGUAGACUUACCGGCGGCAAUUGUUGUACGGUGUGGGUGUUAUAGCGCGCUGAGGUGACUGAAGAAGAAGGAGACGGGGGCGAGAGGUAGAGUGAGGAAAAAGAAAACGAGGACUCAAACACCAAACUUUCAGCCCAUCUUUUAGGCCCAAUUUCUCCCAAACUCUAAUUUAAUAAGCCCACAAAGCCCAAACAAAACUAAAUCAAUAUAUAUAUUCUUUUUUUGUGCAUAGGAAGAUUAAACCACUAAUUUAAAUGUGAAAAUAAAACAAAAUCAUAGCAUACUAGGAGCUUAGCCAAAAUCAAAACAUUACAAACUUUGUAGAUCCAAAAAUCGUGUUAAUUUAAUAAGACAUUUGUGUGAUCGAGUUAAAUACUUUACUAUCUCUAAUUCAAAACGUUCUAAUAGUGUUAAUCGUCUUUUUCUUUAUAAAUCCACGAUUGUAUGUGUCUUGAGAUAGAAAACCUAAGCUUAGUUGGAUCAUAGGAUAAGUUUGAUAAUCGGAAAGAAAAACCCUACAAUAAAGUUUUAAAUCAAAAUCCCAACAUUUAAUCCUUGAAGUCUAAAUUGAAAAAGAAAAACAAAAAAAUAUAAAUCUCCAUUGCUAAGUGCAAUAAAUUAUUUGCCUGCCUCCUUCCUAUUAUUCAAUCUGCUUUGAGGUAUACUUUUCUUAUAUACACAUACUCUAUACUCUCUUCUUCUUCUCUCUCUCUUUGAUUUAUCUAAAAUAUUAUGAUAUUGUUAUUGUUAUUAUUUAUAUCAUGAGAUGUUCCUUUGAGAAAGUUGAUGCAUAGCUUCUUCCAUGCCUCUCUCUCUGGCUCUCCAUCUUCCACUUUAACCUUCAACUCUUUCGCAUAUGUUUCCUAUACAAAAACAAUUUAAUUACAUCAUUAAUGAAAAAAAGAGUUUGAUACUAUUUUGGAGAUUUUUUCAUUUUCGGGAUGGUAUCUUUCUAGGGUUUAGAUUUUGGAACUAGUUUCUAUUUGGUGUCUAAGUGUUUGAAAAUGUUGCAUAUUUAGUUCGUUUGAGUUUAACUUCAAAUUUAGUGUUUAGGUUUUAUUAUUAAUGUUUGUUCUAGAUUUUUGUGUUUUGUUCCCAUUGGAAACCCUAUAUUUCAAGGUAUACAAAUACAUAAUUCAUGAAAAAUAGCAAUUCAUUACAAUUCUUGUCACUAAAAUCGAAGUUAUUUUAAUACUUAUGAACAAGUGAAAACAAAACUUAAUUUUAGGGUGAAUCUUUUGGAACCUACAAACUAGAUUAGAAGAACUAAAACCAAAACUAACAAUUUUGAAACUUGGAAACUAAACUUAUAAUCUUGAAGAUUACACUCAUGAGUCGUUCACUUAUUUGUCUGAAAAAGUUUGUAGUCUACGUUUUAAAAACUUGAAUUUCAUAUCGUUUUAACUUCUUACAAUGUAGGUCGGUUUUAUGAUAAACAACUUUUUUUAUAGAGUUUUCAACUUUGUAUACCUAGCAACGUAACUCCUCUUCUUACCCUCAAACAAGAAGGUAAACUAGCUUUUAACUAGGUGCAAUAACCUAAUAUUUUGAAUAAUUAAUAUGUGUCAAUAAUUCAUAAAUCUAUAAAAUUUAUAUCAAAACGAUCAAACGUUGAGCAUACCAUGAUGAGAUUAUGUUGGACAAGACGGUCGAUAAGGUGCAAAAGAAUGUCCAUAGUGUACUCGGGAUGGCCUUGGAUUCCCAUCAUGUGAUCUCCAUACUUGAACAUUUCGAUUCUCGUCUUUUCUGACCAUCCGAUCACUUCAGCCUUUAACGGAAGUUCCCGAACCUACAAAAUUUUUCAUACAUCACACCGUAUUGGAUCAUGAUCAGGCUGAGAAGUUGUAAUGUGGGAGCGAGUUUACUUAACAAAUAUACAUACCUCAUCUCGAUGACACUCGAUUAUCGAUAACGUUAAUGGGAUCUUUAAUGAUGAUAAGGCUUUUGAGCUAGAUUGUGACACGUGUAUGGCCCUGAUUCCAAUGUCCCAUCCUGAGGUUGCCCUACCCGUCUUUCCUCCCAAUGCACGACACAAAAUCUACAUGUGACAGUAAUCAACUCUACGUUAUUACAUUUUUUAGGAACUUACACAAAUAACAUCAAUUUUCCAUUUUAUUUUCAUAAAAUUAAAUUUUUUAAAUUAAUUUUAGUAACUUUAUUGUAUUUUUAUAUUUGGUACUUAUAUUUUCCAUGAAUCUAAUAUUUUGUUUCUUUAAGGUUCAUUUUUAAUGAUAUUUAAUAAUAUUCAUUUAAGAAAAUAAUAUAUUUUGAAUAUAUUUUCAAAAUUUACAAUAAAAAAUAACAAAUAUAACAAUAAUCAUUAAAAAAAAACAAAGUCAAUCAAUUAGGAAGUUAGGAAUGUACCAAAAUGAUAUUUUAACCAUAAAAGUACUCAAUCUAAAAUUACUAAUUGAAAAUUUAAAAGGAAAAAUAAAUCUAAACAUGGCUAAAUGACAUUAAUUGUUAAUUAUUAUGAUGAUUAAACCUCUUUUAAUUACAACCAUUAGAUUUAAAAAAUAACAUUAAUGUAUAUGCAUAUGUAUGUAUGUAUAUUUAGGAAAUUAAAGAGAACUAUCCUCCAAAUCUAAACUUUCAAAACUUAUACCAUUAAGACAAUAAGACAACUUAAUAAGCUUAUAAUAUGAAUUGGAUGACACCUAGAAAAAUAAAAAAAAAUAUACUUAUAAUAUUUCUUUUAAGAAACAAAGAAAAAACUAUUAUAUAAACAAAGAGAUAUUGGAUGACAAGAAAAUGGAUAUGAAAAUACAAAUUGGAUUGCACCCAAAAUUGGCUUUUUCUCUGCUUUAUAUUCUUUCUUAUAUAUUACCCCUAAUAUUUGUUUUGAUUCACUGUAUAUAUCUUAGCCAAUUGAAAUAUAAUAGAAAAUAUAAACGGAUGCAUUCGCCGAGUUUAGACCCUAACUUGAUGUAGCAUGACCCAAACAUAACCUUUUAACAUGUAAUGCCUUUAUCAUUUUGUUUUCAAUUUUCUACUCGUUUAUUUAAAAUUUAUUUUGUGAAACAGUUACAAAUAUAAUCAGGAGAAAAAUAUUAGCAUAUCUAGUAAUAUUUUAAAUAAAUAAAAAAUAUAAUAAUAAAAUCUAUUGAGAUUGAUAGACUAUUGAUUAUAUCCUUAGAAGUCUAUCACAUAUUGAUAUAAAUCAUUGAUAGACAACACUUAGAUUAUCAUCCACGAAAUUGAAUAUAUAUAUCAAAUGAAACACACGUCGUGCCAACUAAUUUCCACCAUGUUUUGUCUUUUGAGAUAAAGUGAUGUUUUUGGGCACGUGCUUAGUUGGAUGAGAAUUUAUAUUCAUCAAAAGGGUUAUUAAUAUAUAUAUAUAUAUAAUUAAUGCUUGAAAACUUGAAAUUCAACCAUAAAAAAAAAAAAGAAAAAAAAACUAUACUCAAAUUGCUGAAUACAUUAUUACUAUUGGAAUAUGAAGUACAAAAUUCCCCCAACUUAGACCAACCAAAUUAGGAGUCAAUGAACUAUCUUCAAAAAGAAAAUAACUUCGAAAGAUUUUAAAAAAGAAAAAUAGUACAUAGAGAGAUUAACUCAAAAUUCAUAAUUCUAUCACUUAUUUCAAAUUCAAUUUUGGCAUAAAGUUUCAGUCAAUUAAUUUAUUGCAGAAGUAAAGAAUAAAACUCUUAUAUAUAUAUGUAGAUAGAUAGAUAGAUAUUCAUGAGAAUAAUUCAUUAUAUAGUUUGUCUCUUUCUCUUGUACUAAAGAAAAAACAAAAGAAAGAAAGAAAAGUCUCUUUCUGCAUAUGACCAUUUAACAAUAAAUUAUGAUUAAAUACCUAAUUAAAGGCUUUUUCUAAAGAGAAUUAAAUACUUUAUUUUUAUUGGUGAAGAAUUUAGCUUAGCUAUAUAUAUAUAUAUAUUUAUAUAAUGUGUGCAUGUAAUGUAAUGUAAUGUAAUGUGUGCAAAAAAGGUACACCUACUCUCAUUGGGGAAAUGACCCAUGAUCCACCCACAUGGUUUAUGUCUAUUCAUUUCUACUAUUUUCUUUUUAUAAUUUUCCAAUUUUCCAUUAUCCUUUUUACAUGGAGUUUUGUGAAAAUUUGUCAUUCUUGCUUUGUAAAUAUUCAACUUUUUUUUUUUUUAAUUUGAAAAAAAUUGUAGUGUUUGUUUGGUAAAAAAUGAUCAUACAAAAGUGUGUUUUGAUUAAGCUAUAAAGACUACAAUUAAACAUAUUGUUACAAUUAGUGUCUUUUCUUUUGUUGAUAAUAAUUAAUAUAUCUAUUUUACUCUAAGUUAAUUGUUUAAGAAUUUAUAUGAUUUUUUCUUUAGAAAGUUGGGGUUUAAAAGAUGUUCAAAUUACCUAAUUUUCCACCUAAGAGAAAAUUUGCGGCUUCAAAAAGCCUCAAAUUUACUCAAACAAUAUAUAUCAAAUAAUUUUAAAAUAUAUAGUUUUUGAAAGUUAAUACAAUUCAGUAAUUAUGGUAAAUAUAUAUACAAUACAAAAGAGGGGAAAAAAGAAAAAACGUAAAACAAUGUAUUGAUUAAUGACAUUAACAAAAAUUUAAUGACGUGUAAAAAAUUUAUUACUUUCAUUUAUUAUUUAUUGACCAUCUUAUUUUAUAAUUUUCAAUAGUAUCACUAAUUAAUAAUAAUUUUCACUUCAUUCUACUUGAUCAAUUUGAAACUAAUAUUUUUUUUUUUUUUUUUGAAAUUUUGUUCUUCAAUUCAAAAGUAGUCAAUUCAUUCCACAAGAAUAUUGACUCAUACAAGUUUUCUGCCAUUCAAACAAAAACUUUAUAGAUUUAAAUCUACAAUAUCACAAUAUCACUAACAUAUUUCUAGUCAAUUGAGAAUUAUAUUCUUACAUUAUUCUUUUUUUAUUUAAAUUAAAUCUAUAGUAUUAUUACUAUUUAAGUCCAUUUAAUUAUUCUUUUUAACUCUCUUUUUGAGACAGAAAAUAUCAAUUAUAAACCUAAACCUAAAGUUCAGCACUAUCCAUUUAAAUCAUAUAAACUAGUAAUUUUACAAUGUUAUAUCCAUUUAAUUAGUUUUAAAUGAAUAGAUAUAUCAAAUUAGAUAUCUUUAUAAAUUUUUAAAGUCUAAUUUGAUAUAAUUAUAAAGUUUAAAGUUUAAAUUGAUAUAAUUAUUAAUUUAUAAUUAAAAUGAGAAAAGUGUGCUCCUAUCGAACAUAGGCACAAUCCAUUUUCGGCUUUUUUUUUGUUUUGUUCUGUUUAAUUUCGUCGAAUAAAUAAAAUAAAUUAUUUUCAUCCCACAAGAUUCCUUGUCACCCACUAAUUUUUUUCUCUUUAUUUUUCCAAUAAAUAAAAAAAAAUAACCAUUACCAAAAUCAUCAAACUCUACCUUUCUAUUUCCAUUCCAAUUUCUUACAAUUUGUUUGUUUUCUUUUUAUCUAUAAUUAUCAUCUUCUCAACCAAAGAACAACCACAACUCUACAUUAUAGAAUCAAAGAAAUUAGUAGGAUGUGGAAACAACUGAUCAAAUUCCAUGCAACUGAUUUUAACUAUAAUAUAUUGAAAAACUUUUAUCUAUAUAAGAUGAUCAUCAUCAUCUUCUUAUUCUUAUAAUUCAUCUUCCAUUUUCAACCACUAAAUAUUCAACAAUGAUGAUGCUGAUGAGAUCAUAGCAUUUAAUAACCAUUAAUGACAAGAAUUUAUAGCCAUAGCCCAAAAAAAAUAAUAGCUGUAACGAUUUAAUUUUACGUACCUGAUGGCCGAAGCAAAUUCCGAGGACUUUCUUCUUCAAGGCGUUCAACUUCUUUAACAAAAGAAGGAGCUGGCAGAUCCAAGGGUCAUUAGAAUGGGCGUCACUACAGCUUCCGGUGACGACGAAACCGUCGUAAAUCCCGAUAUCGGCAUCGUCGGGGAAAUGACCGGCGGUGACUCUGUAUGAGUCCCAAAUUUCGCCUUCUUCACCCAACAUUUUAACGAAGACCCCAAAGUACCCUCCGUGUUUCUUUUUGACGUACUCUGGAUCCUCUGCACACAGAAGCACGGCAAAUCGCUUUCCCACCAUUUUUUCCGGCCGGCGAGGUUUCUCUCUCUAGGAUUUUAGAGAGAGAGAGAGGGAGAGGAAGAGAGUUUUUUUUUUUUUUGUGUAUAAUUUUGUUUUCAAAUUGAUUGCAUGCUUUUAGGGUGGGAAUGGAGAGAGGGUUGAGAUUUUAUACGGAGAAGUUACCUAAAAGGGCAGGUGUUUUUGGGGUUUUUUACCAUUUUGCCACAACAUUUUUGUUAAUUUAGAGAGAUUUAUUUUUUUUCUCUUUUCCAACACAGCUAUAUAUUCAAUAUUUACAACUUUCAUUUGCUUAAUUAUUAUCCUAUUUGAGUUUAUAGUUCUUAAUUUUGUUUGUAAAAAAAGAAAAAAGAAACUCUCAUCUUGUGUUAUGAUCGGAAAUUAAUUAGGGUUUUUGAAGUGAAUGUGUGUUCUCUUGGGUUGAAUUUUAUUUUCGAAUUAAUUUAUAGAGAAAUUGUCUCGUAUGAAAUUUUUUUAUAUAAAAAACAGGCAAGCAUCGUUUUCUUUUAUAUAUAAAUUGUGUGACAAAUAUGACAAGUAAUUAAUGUUAUCAGAUGUUGUUCGUUUUUAAAUUUGUUUCUUUUGCAAUUUAGAAAAUGUCGUGACAUGUGCACUAUAAUCAUAAUUUCAAAUCAAUUUAAAGGAUUCAAGUUAUUUGUAUUUAUACAUUAUAAAAAUUGUUAACUUUUGAGUAUAACUCAACUAUAGUUAAAGACACGUUAUUGAUCUUCAAAAAUUUAUGUUCAUCUUCGAAAAAAAGUAGCUAUAAUUUAUGUUGACGUAACUAAUCAAAAUUUAAAUAUAUUUUAUGGGUAUUUAUAAGACGUGUAUUAGAGAUAUUGAUAAAUAUUCUUUAAUAUCAAUGUCAAACUCUUUUUAAUUAUAAAUAUUUCAACUUACAAAUGAACGUUUUAAUUCUACUUAUAAAGUUAUAGUAAUUGAGAUCAUAACAUUAAUAUAUAUUUAAUUGUUUAUACAUUUUUUUUAACAAAACCGUAAUACAAUUUACUUUUAAGUUAAAUAUUUAAAUCUCCAAACCUAACAUCAUGCAAUUAAUAAAGGAAAUUAAUCAAUUUGAAUAUAUAUAUAUAUAUUAUUUGUAAAGAGAACUUAACUGUAUGAAUUAUAUUUGCAAAUAUAACAAUAUUAUAUUAAAAUUUAAAAAACAAUUAAAUUUAUGAAUAUUUGCAAAUAUCCUAAUUAGGUCAAAAGUAAAAGUAUUAAUAAAUAUAGCAUAAAUUGAUUAAAAGAAAAAUUUAGAUAAAGCAAAAUUUAAAUACAAGGUUUCAAGUCGAUCAACGAUAGACUUCUUUACUACUGCUAGAAUUAUCAACAAUAAAAUAAAGAGUUAAUGGUGGAAAAUAAAAAGUUAUUCACAAAUUAUCAAAUUUUAAAUACCGAGGUUGAAGUUCAAUUAGUAUCGUUAUUUUACACGCUUAAUUAAAAAUGUUAUAUUAUACACUUAAUUAUGGAUUCUAAAUACACGUUAGUAUUAAUUAAAUUUUGAGUUGGUAACCCUACCAACUACUUAUCAACCAAAUUAAAUUUAGAUUCACACAACCCCACAUUUUUUAAAAGAAAACUAUAUGAAAUACACAAACUUUAAUUUCCUCCCUCAUUAAAAUAGCAUUUAAAAGAAAUGAAUGCAUAAAAAGUAAAAUUAGAAGCUAUAAAUUAUGAAAUUAUAUCAUGAGACAAAAUUGUCUCUCCAUACAAUUUGUUAUUACAUUUUUGGUAGUUUUAAAUGUAUUAAAUUUGUCCCCUAACACAAUGUUAUGUAUAUAAGAAGAAAGUGAAAAUAAUGAACAAAUUUAUAACCUAAAGUUAUUGAAGGUACCAAAGUAAUUAAUUAAUUCACAAUACCUUAUUUAUAUAUUUAUUUACUUUAAUUCCUUCUCUUUUUAAUUUCUUCACUCUUUGCUUAUAAAUUUCAUGAAAAAUAUUUAUAAAUAUGAAUAAAAAGAAUUAAAGAAAGAAUGUAAAAGAGAAAUUAAAUAUGGUCCAAAUUUAAAAGAAUAUCUCUAGCUAUGUUACCUAAUUAUAACCUUUAAUUUAUAUCUUGAUUUGGUGAUGAUUCACUCAAAGAUAUUGUUGAUUAACAAUUAAAUAAGUAAUAUAGUUAUAUAAAACUCAUUUUCUUCAUUGUGAAAGAAAAUGUAUAUUAUUAUUUGAUGAUAAAAUUAAAAACAUAUAUCUAUUUUAUAUUCUAUACAUUUCUUUUUUAUAGAUUAAUUACUCGAGUCUUUUUUUUUUCAAUAAUAAUAGAAAAACAAAGUUGUUUUUUAAAAUUAUAUAUCAUUAAUUGUAAUCUUUUAUAUUUCUUCAAUGUAAUGCAAAGACAUUUAAAUUACGAACUUUGGUGUCUAAUAGGUUAAAAAAAUAUGUGUUUCCAUACAAAUUAAAAAUUUAUAAUUCAUGUAUGAUAAAUUCCUAGCCAGUUAAAUUUAUCUUACUACAUUAAAUUCAAAAUUGAAAGUCUAAGUCUAACUUUUAAAUAAAAUCAAAAUUUUAGAGUCAAAAUGUAAGUAAGUUAAAAAAAAUACAUUAAGGAGAAAUAAUACUUAAUGCAUUAUGGACAUCGCUGAUAAUUAGUACCUCUAACUAAACUGUUUCGUCAAACUUUUUAUUUUUUUCUUAUUUCUUGCACUAAUAUUUUAAUUAUUUGUUCAAUGUGUAUGAUGAGAAGAAGAUAUCUCAAAAUACAUUUUGAUAUUACUCGAAUGUUAGGGCUGAAUUUUUGAUUAUGUAUGGAGAUAUAUUUAAAUAGAGUUGGAAUAAGAAGUAAAUAUAUAUAUAUAUGAAUAUGAAAUAAAUUGAUAUAAUAUGGGAAAGAAGAAAGAAAAAAGAAAAAUGGUUAAGUCAACAAAAUAGCAAAUUAAAUUGGAAAAUAGAAAAAUAUCAAUCCUACAAAGAUUGUAUGGUUAAGGUGUCUCUCUCAUAAAACGUCGGUGGAUUUAAUUCCCAUGAGUUAUAUAUAUAUUUAUAUGGAUUUAGUAACUAUUUCAUAUUUUGUUUUUUUUAUUUAUCUUUAAUUUUUAGAAAUUAAGUAUUUUAAUUUAUUUAUCAAAGAUUGGUCUUUUUGUUCUAAGUAUAAAAGUUGAAUUAUUUACCCUAAUUUUUUAGUAAUUAUUAAUUAGGGUCUAUUUCAUAAACUAUUUGUUUUCUGUUUUUAGUUUCUAAGAAAAUGGGCGUGCAUUUGGUAAUUAAUUUUUUAAAAUUUUAAAACAAGAAUUUCUUUUUAAAUUACAAAAGAAAAUUUAAAAAUGAAAAAAAAGCUUUUGUUUUUAAAUUAGUUACCAAUCUUUUCAGUAAAGAAAAAUUUGAAAACACAAUUUAAAAAACAGAAACAAAACAACGAAUUGAAAUGAUUACUAAAGACAGUUUUAGUUUUUUGUUUUUAAAAAUUAAAUUUAUAAAACGCUACUUUCACUUCAAAAAUAUUAUUUUACAUUUUCAAAACCAACUCAAAAUUUAAAAAGUAAGAAACUAAUUAUUUAUUUUACUUUUUAAAUAUAACGAACCAUUCAAAUCUCUUAACGAAAUUUGCUUAAUUUCUAAAAAAAAAAACAAAAAGUAAAAUAUACAUCUUCGAUUUUUUUUAACUAUUGGUAAAAUGUAGAUAACAAAUAAAAAAGAAUAGAGGGGAUGGAUAUUAAUUUUAAGGCUAAUUUUUAAAAAUGUAGAAAAAUUAAAUAGUUACCAAAAUAUGCAUAAUAGUCGGUUUAUAAUCAUUUCUUUUCAUAACUAUUUAUGUUAUAUAUUUAUCCUUCGUUAUCCCGAAAACGUUCUUCAUCUCCUCGACCCUUUUUUAAAGAAAAAAUGAAGAAGAAAAGUUAGAAAAUGAAUGUGGUUGUAUUGUUGGGGAAGAUGUGAAUCAUGGAAUGAAUAUGAUUCAUCAUCUUUAACAAAAUUAAGUUUUAGUAAUUCAACACAACUCUCUUUCCUUUUCUUUUUCUCUCUUUCUUUCUUUCUUUUCUCCCCCAAAAACAACUCAUUUUAUUUGCCAAAUCCUCAACUGUUAGCCAUUUUAUUGGCAAAGUGCUUUACACGAUUGCCCAAUAUCAAUUUGGUUUUCCAAUAAUCACUCAAUCUCUCUUCUUCUUCUUCUUUGUAUCACACUCAAUCAUCACUACCUUCCCUUCUCCUUUUUAUUAUUGGUUUUCAAACGUUAUUCCACAUCCUUUUUUUUUCUUUAAAAGUAUUAUUAUUUUUAGUUACGUUACGUUGAAAAUAUUGGAUCUCAUCUAUGAUUGUCGUUUUUCUGUGUUUUUGUAUUCGUAUAUAUUAACAUGUGGAACUCAUUUUCAAAAUUCGUUAUGAAACAUGCAAAUUGAUUAAGGAGUGGAGGGUGAUUAGUAUAAUCUCAUUGUGUGUUUGAAAAUUACAUUAAACUCACUACCUAUCAUUUCUGCUAUUAAUAUUAUAACUAUUGUUACAAUAUGAUAGUAUAAUUAUGGAUUUUACUCACAUUUAUUAUUGUUAACGUUUCUACAAACAUUAAUUAGGUAUUGUAAAAGAUAAACGUGACAAAUUUAUAACAAUAAUUAGUAAACAUGAUUAAAAAAAAAAAAAAUAAGUCCACCAAUUUUAAUUAUGAAUUAGUAAGCGUGACCUUAGUCCAAAGCUUUGAAAUUUUGCUAACGAUAUAGCACAAUGAAGAUUCAAUAUUAUAGCGUUAUUAUAACACAAUUAUACAUUUAACUUUUUUUUAUUGAAAUUUAAUCCAAAUAAAUAAUAUUUAAUUGAAUCGAAAUAAUUAAUUUAAUCCAAUUAUGAUAAAUUUAUUAUGACAUUGUCUCAGCCUCGUUUAUGACUUUAAUAUUAACUAAUUUUUUCCAUAUUAUAUUAGAGUCAAACAAUGUGCCUUAAAUCUUCUUCAUGAGCUUCAUUAAAUCAAUCAAAUUAUUAUUGAAUGCUAAUAAUCUUGACUUAAGUUUACACAUAAUAAAAAUGUAUAUACUAACUAUGAGUUAAAAAAAAAAAAAAUCAUAUAUAGAAUAAUCUAAAAUAUUAGAGACAAAAAUUAUAUAAUUAUGAUAUCUAUGAAUCACUUAACAAAAUUAAGAACACAAUAAAACUACAUUUAGACUAAAUUAAAGCAAUAUUUUUUAAAAUUUGUUGACAAUUAACUUAAACUUAAAUCUCAUUUAUUCAUGUUAAUUAAUGCAUUAUUAUUGGAUUAAAUAAUUAUUAGGAAAAUGAAACAAAAAGGUUUGUGUUAAUUGGAGGCAACCUUUUGAAUGGACAAAAGUUCUUAUAAUGAUCAAACUAUAUGUUAUUAGACAAUGCCCCAAUAAAACUUUAUUGAAGAAUGUGGAGACUAUCUCACAAAAGCAAUAACAAUUAAUACCAUUUUCUUUUCAAUUGGGUGCUUUUUAAUUUUGAUCUAAUUUCUAUUUUAUUAGCCUAUAUAUGCUUUCAAAUAUAUAUAACAUAUCUAUAUAUAAUUUCUCUUUCUCUUUUGUGUCAUACAAAUAAUUACUCUAAAAAGAUUGAGUAAGUGAAAUGAUUUUAUGUUUGUGAUUACACUUUUAAAAGUCAUAUUAAUAAUUAAUAUUGAGUCACACAUCCACUAUUCUUUUAAUUACUUUAUUUACAGCCACAUAUUAAUAUUAUAUAUAAGUGCCUUCAACAUCAUAUUAUUAAAACAUCGAGUCGAAAUUCAAGCCUUUAAUAUCUUAAUUGAGAAUACAUAUGUUUAGAUCAAUAAAUUACAUUAAUACAAUAUUUAUUUUAACAAAUCAAGAAUACGUACAUAUGUGUCGUCUUCAAUACAAAAGUUAAAGUAAAGCACACUCCACAUUUCGUCACCUUAUACACAUGUUAUAAACAUUUUUCUAUGUAAAACUUAUGGUAAUAAUCGAAGUAAUAAUUCUCGAUAAAAUAUAAACCUAACACACACACAUAUCGUUUAGGUUAUACAUUGGGAUCGAGAUGCAUGUUAUUAAUUAUUAUUCAAUAUUAUAGAAUUUGCUAGCUCCUUAUAAAAUAUAUGUUAUCUUAGUCAAAUAAUAGGAUAAUUAAUAUUUAACCUUUCACGUGUUCGUUAACGUAGGAAAUAAUUUUAAAAAGUUAACUUAAUUAGUAUAAUUCAACCAAAAGAAUGUUAGUCUUUGUAAUAAUUUUGAUUAUUGAAUAUGAAAGGAAUUGAAUUGAAAAAUGUGGAUGUGAAUUAAAGGGGUCAGCAUCAUCAUAUAUACCUUUAAAAGAGAGAAUCCAUAAAUAUUCCUUUUGGACCUCAAAAUAAGAAAUGAGGAAGAAACAAAAAAGAGUGCACCAAACCAAACUAUAUAUGAAAGAAGAAAUUAUUCAAAAGCAAUUUUAAAAGUGGGCUCUUGGUAGGAUUCACAAUAUAAUGCACAUGCCAUAUCAUAUUAUAUAAAUAAAUAUAUAUAUACACGAACUUAGUUACUUAUAUUAUUCAAUUACAGAUUUAAACACUAAAUUGAUAAAGAUCUUUUAACGUCGUUAUUACUGUUAGUCACUGAUAGAGAAUGAAAUUAAUGGAAUUUUGUUUAUAUAUAUAUAUAUAUAUAUAUUUAGUUAUAUGAUUUAAUAUAGUGUUGAUCACAUUUGAAAUGUUUUGAAAAUAAGAGUAAGAAAAAAACAAACUUUAUUUAGAAUUUAAUAUAAUUGAGCUUUAUUUGCACUCCAUUUAUUCUCAUCCAAUUGCUAAUUUGUUUAGUUAUUUUUGUUAGAUAGGGAAGGUUUGUCUUUUAAUAUUAGUGCAUUAUUUAAUUAUUAUAUUUUGUAUUUUAUUAACACAUUUAAAACAACAUUGAUAACAAAAACUUUGACUAAAAAGUAUAAAUUUCUUUAAAAAAAGUAUCACUAAUUACUCGUUUGUAAAAAAUAGCUCUGAAUUUUCAAAAGUUAAAAAAAUGGUUCGAUUACAUCUGUUAAAAUUUUUUUUAAAAAAAAUCUAUGAACUAUUAAAACGUUUCGUAAAUACUAUUAAACUUAAAAAAGUUCAAAUACUGGAAAUACCUUUUAAUGUGAGACGUGGAACUAUUUUCCAAAUGUGAAUUUGUUAUGGGUCAUAGAUUAGGUAGAUGUUAUACUUAAAAGUCGUUUUAGAAUCUAAUCUGUUAGAGCAUAUUGUGAAUAUUCUCGAAAGUUGUUUGACAUACAUUGAUAUACUAUUGAUAUACUUAAAAACAUUUCGUAAUCAUCUUGGACUGACUUAGUAGCAAAAUGAAAGAUAUUGAUAACUUGGAGGUUAUCGGUUCAAUCUAUUUAAUUUUUUAUAAAACUUUAGAGAUUUUUUUUUCUUCUAAAAUUUCCUUCAUAGGUUUUAUUUUUAGAAAAAGUUUAGUUGAUAUAGUUUUUUAAUCCAUAUUUAGUGUGAAAGCAAAAGUAAAAUAAGAUUUUUUUAGAUUUCAUUCGAUGUGAAUAUAUAGUGUUUGGGGGUGUACAUAAGCUCGGUUGAAGAAAAUUUAUGGACCAACCUAAAGUAUUCGAGUUUGACAUUAUAUGAACCCUAUAGGUUUAAUAUGCAAGAGUCAACCCGACCCAACCCAACCCAAGCCAAAAAAUUCGGGUUGGAUCAAGUUCCAUUGAAAUGUUAUUUUUUUUAAGACAAUUUUUCAUAUAUUUUUUUCAAUAUGCAAGGUGAAGAAAUUGUCGGGUGCAAUAUUUUUUUUCUCCAACUUUCUAAUCCAACUCAAUCUACACAAAAUUUAACCCAACCUUACGGUUUGGGUUUGAUAAUCCAGAUUGGUUAAAUUACCGAUUUUUAUUAACACUCCUACUUUUUCUUUUAAGAAAAUCUUACUAAAUGGCAAUUUGGUUUUAUUUUUUAAAUUUGAUAAAAAAGAAAACUCACUGUUUUUUAUCACUUAAAAAAAUGGAAACCAGAAGUAAGAAAUUGAGAAAAUAAAUUUAAUUUUAAAAAAUAAAAAUAAAAAAGAUAAUUUUUUUCUACAUUAUUUUAGUCAUAAAUCAUAUAUUUCAACCAUGUAUUUCAGGUGUGAUAUAAUAUAUAUAUAUAUAUAAACUAGUAGACUCACAUCUAGAUUUCCAAUAGAUUUUUGUUGUCUUCUUUUGUUAUUUUAAUAAAUAGCUUAAAGGACACACACAAUAAAUUUAUUAUUAUUUUAUUAACCAAAAGACAUAUCUUAAAUAUGAAAAGUUUUAGCAAAUUCUGAAUUUUAAAAUCUUAAUCUUUUUUUACAAAAAAAAAAAAAUAGAGAAGAAAUAAAAGCCAAUGAGGGCAAUUGAAAAGUAGUUAUAUAUAUAUAUAUAUAUAUAUAUAAGUUUUUGUUUUUAGAACAAUAUUAUAUGUUUACAAUCGAACUAGAAAUAAAAUUGAGAAAGUUUAAGAACGUAACUAUAACUACUGAUUUUUACAAUUUGCGAAAUUAAUCGUCUAAUUAGAAAUUACUCAUCUAUUUGAGAAAUUAGAUGCUCUCACAUCUCCCUCACAUAAAAAUAAAUACUUAAAAUUAUUAAUGAUUCAAUCUCUCAAGUUAUAUGAAUAUGAAAUUCAUAUUUUAUAAGGUUGAGUUUGAAUGAUAAUGAGAAGACAAUGAUGGAAGGUCAUAAUGCACUCCUUAAGUUUGGAUUCAUAAAUAUUUUAAUCCUCAUCCAAGUUGAUGAAUAUGUUCUUGAACAUUUUAUAAGAGUGAUUAAACAUUAGUAAAUAAAUCGACAUAGAAGUGGAUUUUGACUUGACCCAUAAUAAUAGACUAUUAGGGAAUAAUAGACUAUUAUCCUAAACAAUGAUAAAAAUCUAUUUAAGUCUAUCACGGUCUACGUUAGGUCUACGUUAAUAGAUAGUAAACUUAUGCUAUAUUUAUAAAUUUUUAUAUUAUUUUAAAGAACCAAAAGAAAAGAAAAGUAUUUUAUUUAUAUGAACUGAAAAUAAGGUGCACAAAGUUUAUUGAGAGUAAUUACAAUAAGUUAAAGAAAAAGGGGUGACCUAUGACUUCAAAGAGGUUGGCAUUGCAAGAUUGACUGCACAUCCUCCAGUUGAGUCUUUCCAUUGUUGUGUCACUGUUUUUAUCUGUGUGAAGAAGUUCACCCCUGCCUUCCCUGUUUCCACAAACACAUUCUCUUAAUCCCAAUUAACCAAAACAAAAAUCUAACCGACGCCAGCCUCCAUACAUUUAAUCGUGACUGAAAACUUGUAGGAUAUUAUUGACCUAUGAAUCCACUUUGGUAUUGAGCAUGAAAGUGAAUGACUUGAUAUAGGACCAAAAUAAAUAUGUAUGAAAGUUUGGAGUAUUUCAUGAUAUAAGGACUAAAGAAGAAUAAAAAAGGUAAGAAAUCAGGAGCAGAAAUGAGUUUAAACCAAAAGCUUACCAUAAAAGUUGAGAUCCCCAGCAAAAGAUGCCUUGGAGCCGGUGAACGAGAAGAAAGGCAAGGGAACUGGAAUUGGAACGUUGAUCCCAACCUAAUUCAUAUCAAAAGAUUCAAAUAUAAUUUUGAGACGUAAUUCAUAUAUAUAAAUUAGAGAUAACCAAGCAAUUGCAGAUCCUAUUGGCUUCUAUUCCUUAUAAUGGAAUGGAAGUACUGAGAUUAUAUAGUUUACAUGACAAACACAAAGGCAAAAAGUUAACCGACAUACAUCCUCUCCGGAUAUACUUUCUUUUGCAUUCUCGAAGAACAUGACUAUAACAUGCAAGUCUAUCUUAAAAAAAAAAAAGUAUUUUCUCGUCCUUUAAGAAUGCAUGAUAAGAGCGAAAAUGUUUGAAGAUACCCUCCAAAGUAAAGGCCUUGAAGCUCUAGAUAAAAACUUUACUCAAAACUCAUUUUAUAUCUUUGAGGGUGGGUUGGCAAAAGCCUCUUCAAAGAUUAGGGAGGGGUUGGAUGGGAAAUUUAUGGAAUUCGGCCUUUGUAUGUACGCGCGUGUGUGUGUGUAGGAAAAAGAAUCCUUUUCUUUCCAAUGUUAAGUGCUACUGUUACCUGUCCAGCUUCAAUAUCCGCUUGAAACUUCCUCGCGGCUAUCCCAGAUGUGGUGAAUAUGGAAGCUCCAUUUCCAUACCUAUCCAAACAUGAUUUUUCCUAAAGAUUGUAAGGCAACGGAGAAAGGAGUAGUUGCUAUGACAAUAAAGGGAACAACAAAUAAUCUGUACCUAUUUCCAUUAACGAUGCUAAUGGCGUCUUCUAAACUUUUAGCCUGAUGGAACAAUAAAGCAUGAAAUGUAACGACCUCUUUUAUGAAUGAAUAGAAGAAUCGGACAGAUAAUGAUGAUAAUGAUAUGACAAGCAUACCCUCAUGCAAAGCAGAACUGGGCCAAAUAUUUCUUCCUGGAAAGGGCAAGAUAUAAAUUUUCCAAGUUUAGUCUGACAUUCAUGGUUAUAAUACAUGUUUCACUCAUAAUAAGAUAUAAGAAUUACCUUGUAGCACUCCAUGUCCGGAGUCACAUCUGUUAAAAUAGUAGGGCCAAUAAAAUUUCCAUGCUCGUAUCCAGGAACCUAAAUUACAAUCAUGAAUAACUAUCAACGUGAUGCAGAUACAGGUAUAACAUUGAGUCUGUUAUAACACUACUUCGAAAGGGGAUUAUAAAUCAUCAGAAAAUCCAUAGAAAAAAACCCAUUGUUCUUAUUUCAGCAAUCUGAAUUGUGUCAAAGAGAGACAACAUGCUUAGGGAAUGUUCAUCUACAUUUUUGUUGAAAUCUUUAUUCUUCACAAUGUUACCACCCAAGGGAUACUGGUCCAGAAAAUCUUCUUUGUUUCACUAUGUUUCAUCAUGUUAACAUAGCAAAGAUUGAAAUCAAUUUCCUUAUAAACUUACUAUAGGUGAGAGAGAACCAUGCGAGAGUGUACUUUCGUGAAGAAGUUACACAAGAUAAUGUGCAUGUGAAGGAAAAAUUGUAAGAGAUAAAAAUGUGUAGAGAAACUAUUGAAAGAUAAUUCAACUGAAUUAUUCGAGGUUCAACAUAUCUUCCAGCCCCUAACGUUAGCUGCAUUUCAAGAGUUAGGUGAGGUGGGAAGCUCUAUGAUUCUUCCCUUGGCUAUACCCUGGAUAAAUAAUAGAUUGGAAGUUUAUCUUCUUAGGACCAAAUUUUGGAACUACCAUCUCGGCCAACUAAAUCUCUUUAUUCACUUAACUACAUUUUGCAUAGCAACAAAGAUCAAUUACUCCUCAAAAAGCUAGCAUAUGAUGCCACUUGCAGGGAGCAAUAUGAAGCAUAGAUACAUUAUGCCACAUCUACCAAGUACCUGCAGGAAAAAAAGAAAAUGUACUGUAACAUGAAAAGUAUCAAGAUACCACUAUAUUUCUCCCAUCUAGCAGUAGUGUGGCUCCACUAUCGAUGCCAGAUUGAAUCAAUCUGUGAAUCCUAUCCUUUGCCUGUGAAACAAUGAAAUAUUUUAAGCUUCACAUAGAUACCACCGAGGGAUGUUCCAGGGCAUAAUAAAAUAUGAAAAAUAGAAGUUUAAACUGUAGGGAAAAAAAUGAUAAGUACCUGCUUGCUAAUUACUGGACCAAGAUCUGCAUCAGGUUCUGUUCCAGAGUUUACUUUUAGAGCUUUGGCACGUACUACAAGUUCAUCCUCCCUGGAAAAGGUUUAUGUUUCAUUUGUGAUAAACAAGUACUAUGGCUGGCUGCAAUCUAAAAGUAUUUUCGGAACAGACACAGUACAAAUAUAUCCCGAAGUACGGAAACCAUGUAAUUGUUAUGGUAUCUGCUAAUCUCAAGAAGUACAAAAAGAUAUGAGAGUGUGCAGGCAUUCAAUUCCAGAAGUUUGUACUUGAUCCAAAUGAUACACCAUAUAUUUUGAUAAACAUUUGUCGAAAUUCCACACAAAACAAUUUUUUUUAUAUCGUGAGUGUCGGGCUAGCUUAUGCAUACCUAUACAAAUCUCACGAGACAACCUGUCUGACUCUACAACAUUUGGAUGUCAAGGAAACUCUUAGGAAAUUAAUUCCUAAGUAGGUAACCAUCAUGGAUUGAACCAUCGACCAUCGACCAUCGACCUCUUAGUUAUUUUAUUGAGACUGUCAUCAUUUUAUCACAAGAUCAACCCAUGACGGUUACAUAGAACACAAAUUUGAUGAUCCCAAACCAUUGGAUCUCAUAAUGGUAAAAAUUACUUGCAACUUGAAUUAAUAAUUGGAAGAAAAGGCAAUUAGUUCUGAAGUUUCCCAAAAGAAAACUCUACAGUUCAGGCUUUAUAAGAUCAACAAUUUUAGUUGCCUCAGAAUUUUCCUAACCAUUAAAAGUCUAUGCAAUCGCUCACAACUGAAAGAAGUUAACAACAUUCAAGAUACAAACAGCAUUAUAUGAAUCCAAAAUGGUAAGACUGCAAAUGGAAAAGAACUCAACUUUACCCACAAAAACAUGGACAUAAAAGCAAUAUAAAUAGAGAUGAUGUAUGCUUAGAUAAUAUCAAAAUUCCAAGAAUAGGAAGAAUACCAAAACUUGAAUUCUCCAACAAAGACAACUGUACUAAGUGCCAUGCAUCUUUGUCCAGCAGCGCCAAAACCAGCAGCAACCAAAGCAUUCAAAGUAGUAUCUAUGCCGGCAUCGGGCAAGACAAUGGCAUGAUUUUUUGCACCCAUAUUGGACUGAAACAAUCACAGUCACUCAAACAAUUAGAAGAGUUUCAGAAACAAGAAGACUUGUAGAAGUAUUCAAAAAUUUGAGCUUGGAUUUACUUGCCUGAACACGUUUUCCUUUAGCUGAUCCCCUUGAAUAUAUAUGCAUGCCCGCCUUUCACAUUAAAAGAUGAUUAGAAAAUAAAAGUAAAAUUCAGUCAAUAUGGUAAGUUGAUUUACCUUGACAGACCAAACAUGUUGCAAUUCCUUUUAUUUACUUAGUUACUUAUUAUUACUUUCUUUUUAGCUCAAGAACAUGCAGAGUUAAGAGAAUCCAACCUUGACCUCUUGGUUGCAUGUAUAUGCCUAAAUCAAUGAAGUUAUGUUCAAGUUGGCAAAUCUUCUUUUCUUUUUUUCUCAAUUAUUUUUUUCCUUUUCUGAAAGGAACAAACAAUUUGAUUAUAAGUGAAAAUUAAAUAAGAUAAAGGGAAAAUCCCAUACAAAAAACGAUUACAUAAAUUGCUCUGAUUGGCAUUAGUUGAAAAGAAGCCAUUACAAAACAAAGUAAAAAUUAUACACUACACUAAGUUUAAAAAAUAGUAGAAAUAGUACAAAAAAACUAAAAAACUUAGGGAUGAAAGCUCGGCCAGUCUCUGGUUUUGUGCUCAAUAGCAAUAGUUCUAUAAUUUUUCCAAAGAGAACUUCCCAAAGGACAAGAAAGAAAAUCAAUAGACGCAAUGCAAUUGCUAAACACGGUCCAAAGCUAAACUUAAUAUUGCAACCACUCAGCUAGAACCACAAAGCUAAAGUUAAAGCACUUUGAACCAACGGCAGAAGGUAAAAGAAUGGUGAGGUUCAACUGUAGUGGGAUGUUCCAUCAAAUAAAUAUCUUGUAAAACUCCAGUCCACAUGAAGAAAUAUCCAAAUUAAUAAUUCUGGUUCUCAAAACAGAAAGGGAAAAGGCCCUUACUAUCCUAUAAUGGAAUCUUAGUAUGUUGCAGCAAGAACCAGUUGUAGAAAUGAGUCUGGAAUGUAUUGAAAUUUCUCACUUCGUGAAGCAUAAGUUAUUUCAGUUAAGAACUUAAAAUAACUUACAAUGUUUGAACCGACAAAUGAUAUUGCUUUUAUAUCUUCAUCAUCACAAAUAGCAUUAACAACAUCCUGAAGAAAAAUCACAACAAUUAAAAUAACAUUUUAUUGAAGCUGCAAGCAGAUCAACUGACAGCCAACACAUUUAGGAUAGCAGUUAAGUCCAAUGGGUAUGGUUCCCGCAUCUAACAAUAGAGUUGUAAGCUUGUGAACACUUUAGAAUACCAUGUGAGAAAAUAAAAAUGCUAAAACCAAUAGCAGAAUAAAUAUAUAUUUUCCUUGAUUUCACUUGCGCAUCUAGGAUUUAUUAGUAGAUAGAUCGGUGUCAAUAUUAGCCUUGCCACCCAACAAUCCUACAAGAAGAUAGAUAAAGAACUCACAUUAGUACCAUGAACCACAUUUAGGACACCAUCAGGCAAUCCAGCCUCCAUUGCUAACUCUGCAAGCAUUAUAGAAGCCCCUGAAAAAGCAGGAAAGUUCGAAGUUUAAACAUCACUGAAAUGACAGGAACAAUUUACAUCUUUCAAAUAUAGAAAAACUGUAGAAAUGGAGAUGAUCUCCACUAUGAUAUGCUUCAAUUAACUAGCAAAACUAUAUUUAAAGCUUAAGGCAGCUAUUUACUAUUCAAUCACUGUCUGCGAGUGUGUCCCCAAGCCAAACAUAAAUCUCAAAGAGAUACCCACUAGAUCAAAGCUAUUCACUAUUCAGUAUAUAUAUAAAAAAUUGAAUACUAAUAAACCCUAUAUAUAUUUGUUUCUGUGUAUGUGUGACUGUGUUAAAUGGAAACAGUAAAUAAAAAAAACAAGUUUGUAUUAAAGUGAUUUGGGGAAUGAUUAAAAAACAAUGAUUACCAGGAUCUUUUUCUGAAGGCUUCAAAACAAAGGUAUUUCCACAUGUAACAGCAAUUGGGAACAUCUGCAGAGGAUUAUCCAAAGGAAAUGUCAGUCUAAUAUCAUAAGAAAAGAAAACAAAGUAAAGGCUAUUUGGAGGGAUAAUAUCAGGAUGGAAUGAUGAAAAGAGUUCUAAAAUUAUUUUUGGGGGAUAAAAAAAUUUCAUAGAAAACAGACUAAUUCUCUACUGCUGAAAUUAUGACCACUGGGAAUGACAGUGAAGGAUAACAGGCUAACCCAAAGUGGGAUCAUUGCUGGAAAAUUGAACGGACAAAUCCCAGCACAAACACCAAGAGGCUCUCUGAUGCUAUAGGUAUCAAUUCCAUGUGAUACAUUAGAGACAUACUCCCCCAUUUGCAGAGAUGCCAUUCCACAUGCAUGUUCCACAACCUCUACAUAAGAUAGGCCAUUUCAACUUGUUAAUAAACAUUCAGCUCAGGUCAACAAUAAAACAAAUCUACCAUCUCAUAACCACAAACAUAGACAAGGAGAGGAAGGAACUAAGGAUUAUAACCUAGCCCACGAAAUACAUCUCCAUGUGCAUCCUUUAAUGUUUUUCCUUGUUCUGUGGUAAUAUUUAGAGCAAGUUUGUCCUGAAAUGAUGGGAAGAAUCCAUUUUUAUAGUGAAUUUAGAAUAUUCCAUUAAAUGGAAAGAAAAAGUCCUAAAAACUUACUAUAUCUCGCCUAAUAAGUUCUUGCAGCUUGAACAUAAUUCGUUGACGAGUUGUAACUGGAGUAUUACGCCAUGCAGGAAAAGCCUGCUUUGCUGCAGACACUGCAGCUUUAAAUUCAUCAUUUGUGCUCAAUGGAACUUGAGAAACAACUUCUUGCGUUGCCUAAAGACAAAAGGCACAUUUUCUUACCCAUAUCAAAAGGAACUCAACUUUCACAAAUUGGAAAUAGAAAAGAGAACAUAAAAUUGAGCUGGUAACUCACUGGGUUUAUGACAUCUAUAAAUGCUGAGGAUUGAGAAUCAACAAAAGUCCCUCUUAUGAGAUUUGGAACCCUCUGGUACAAAAAAAAAAGGAUAAAAGGGAUAAAUUCAAUGAGGGAAAUACACAAUCUAGAGAUAAACAUUAUAAGAAAAUGCCACAAUUGACAAUCAUGAAUCAAUUCAAGUUGAUAAAAUAGAUAAAAGCUGGAUUCUAUCAACGGAUGGUUAAAGACUAUAGAUGAAGAAAGGCUUGUGUAAAUGAAGUAUAUAUCAUCUUUCCGUAAAAAUGCUCGAUAAAACAAGCAUGCACUUGCAUCAAAUUUAAUAUUUUCGUGAUGGCUUGACAGACAAACUACAUUGGGCAAGGAAUGAAAUUAUGAACUUAAUAUGGCAUAAAAUUGAUGUUUUAUAGUCAUGGGCCAAAACUCCUUGGAUGAAAGAAUGAGUAGACUUCCCCCAACUCCUUGGUUGAGCCAAACACCCCCUUAAGAAGACCAUUCCAAGCAAUUCCUUCUCGAUAUCAGAAAUUAAAGCAGCAUUCUCUUCGAUAAUUAAUUACAAACGAAAUAAGUAAGCAAAGUUGGGGACAGUAGAAAGCAAAGCAUAACUCAGAAUCCCAAAAAAAAAAAAAAACGGAAGCAGAGUUCCUCAUUCAAAUCACAAGCUCAAUAAAUCACCUAAUUAAAGAAAUAAAGUAAAGAAACAAUAAUAAUAAUGCAACAUGCUUAGUAUCCAAAAUCACUAGCCUCUCAAGCGCUCAUCCGUCAAAAGAAGAUUAGCUGACAAAACGAAAUGAAGUCUCCGAACAAACAACCACAUCAUUACCGGAGGAUUAGGCUUUGAAGACGGUUCAGCAAAAGUGGAAAAACGAACAUUUCCAAGAGCAAAGAUCUGAGGCCUCAGAACACUCAAUUUUUUCACUGCGACAUGAUCACGAACAUAAUCAAGAAGCAACUUCCAUUAAAAAAAAAUAAAUCAGAAAUAAGAAGAAUCAAAGAAUGUUACCUCGCCAAAUCGAAGAUUGCAACAUUUUUCUCCGGCGCCGAUUGAAGAUGAUCGAUCACACUCUUACACAAAGCGCUAUGGAGAGAUUUGACUGUUUAGAAGCAAAAGCUGGACUGGACAAUGUUUUGGUUAAACACCAGCGGUGGUUCAUAUUUCAUUUUGAACCGUUGGAUGGUUUCGAUCCGGUUGAUUAUGUAAGAUUCGAGCGAUCUAACGGUGGAAACUUUAUAUUAUUGUUUUUAUUGGAUAAUUAUUAAGUUGCGUGCUUUUGUUGUUUGGUGUGCUUUGCUAAUAAAUAAAUAAAUAAUUUGAGUUUUGGAUUUGGAUUUGAUGAAAACCAUCAAAUAUACACAAAUGUUUAUAAAAUAUAAUAAAAUGUUAUCCUCAAACAAAAAAAUUUACAAAUUUUAAUAAUUUAUCCUUUUUAAAUUUGUAUGAUAAGGUUUUCAUUAUAUAUUUUGAAAGUAAUUUUCAAAUUGUUAUAAAGAGAAUUUAUAUAAAUAGAAGAAAAUGAAAAAUAUUAACAUUACAAACAAAAUGAAUAAUUGAGUUAAAAUUUUGAUUAUUCAAAUUGGGAUUUGAUUAAAAUAGUUUGUCAAUUCUUCUCCUUUUAAAAAUUAUCCUCGGUAAAAUUACUUUUAUUAGGAUUAAAAUUAUGUAAUUGUUUCUAGAUUUAUUUUCUAUAUUUUUCUAUAUAUUAAAAUUGAUUUUUGAAUAAUUUAAAUUAAAAUAAUAGUAUUAAUAAAAGUUAAUUUGUUUGGUAUUCGAAAUUUGGUUAUUGGUAAAGUAUUUUGAUUUUUAAUUUUUAGUUUUUAAAAUAUACUCUAUAAAUAUUACUUUUAUACAUUGGUAUUUUUAAUUUUGAUAUCCACUCGUUAUAAGUUUAUUUAAACUCACAAAUUAAGUUUUAGAAGCUAUAAAAGUGUAUUUGAAGAUUUGUUUUUCAAUUUUGAAACUUCCUAAGAAUUUACAUGUUUUUUAUAUAUAAAAAAAAAAAUUGAAAUCUAUAGAAAAAAUAUUGAGAAAAACAAUAAAAGAAAUGGAAAAAAACAGAAAUGAUUAAGAAAUUAAUAUUUCAAUAAAUUAUGAAUAGACUUAAAUUAAUAUAUCAUUUAACCUAAAAGAGAAUCUCUAACCAAUAGAAUUGGGUGCAUGCUUACAAGGACAUGACUCAGCAUAUACAUAUAGGUGUGUGUUUAUAUAUAUAUAAACAAUGUGAUUAAGUGCUCAUCAUUUGGUUAUUGGUUAUUCAUGUCUUCUCCCUACCAAGCACAAAGGGUUCUUUCUUCAACAUUGUUAGGAUUAAUUAAUCCAACUUAAUUCCAAAUGAUGAAGCUCAUUGGUUAUCCUUUAGAUUAAAGAAGUUCCAUAAGAUUGUAUAGGAAUAAAGUGGGUUUGUUAUGUUAAAAAUGAAUCAAACUAAAUGGUAAUGAUAUAUAACUAUGUUAUUGGAGAUUAUUUUUAAAAUACACGUAGAUUUAUGCCGCAUCAAAUAAAUGUUAAAAGUAUUGUGUUGAAUUUGUUUUCUUAAUAACUAAUUUGUUGAGAGAGUGACUAAAUUGUGCAUGAACAAUACCACUACAACAAUCUUUGCUUUGGAUGUCAGUUAUGAAAUGACAUCAUACACAUACGAUGUUGAAUUACCGUCAUUGUAUCAUGUGACGUAGGUUUGAAACGAUGUCGGUUUGUGACUGACAUCAUAAACAUACAAUGACGGUUUGAUAUGGUGAUAGUUUGUAACCAGUUUGUUACAAUGUCAAUUCGUAGCUGAUAUCAUACAAAUGCCAUUAUAUACAUACGAUGGUGGUUUGUUACAAUGUUGUUCAUUAAUUGUUAUUAUUGUACAUUACGAUGAUUUUUUUUAUAUCAGGUCAGCUUACGAGCACCUUGACUAGUCACACGGGACACUCGCCUUACCCUACAACGUUUGGGUGUCAAGGAAAGCCGUAAAAAAUUAACUUGAGCAUUGUACAUCAUGAUGUUAGUUUACAAUCAACAUAUUUAUUAUAACUUGCAACAAUUAUAGACGAAACAUGAAUCCUACAUAGUCAAAUUUUAAAAUACUAACAAACAUCAUCCAAAACUAAAAAUUAACUUCAAUGUAACUCAUUUAUAAAUCUAGAAAUUUGAAAUGGAUGGAAAACAACACCUAACCAAGUCCAAUAGUAAAACUUCAAUCUACCAAAUUAAUCUAAAUUAAGUAACCAAGUUGGAAUCCAAAGUUUAAUCAACUUGAUUGGAUGGAAAUUAACUAAUACACAUCUUAGGUAUGAAAUUCUUGAUCGAGAUGGGCUCCUUUAUAGAUAGUAUUUGCAAUAAAUCGUAUUAAUGAUAGAAGUCAAUCAUAUCGAUAAGUUUUAUCAUCAAUAUCAUUAACAUACAAAUAUUCACUCAUACCUACUUAACUUCUAUUAUUGAUAUCUAGCCAAGUUUUAUCAUGAAUGUCAGUAGUAAAUGAUAUCACUCAUACACUGCUAUCACUAACAUCUACCUAAGUUAAAUAACUCGUACACAAAUAUAAUUGAUAUCAUUAGGAGAUGAAUAUCAUUGAUUUCUUUGAUAUCUCCCUAAAUAAUACUAAUGAUAUCACCAAUGUCAUUUAUUUUAGAAUAGCUUUGUAACUACCGAGAACAAAUCUAACAUAAUUUUAAAAAAUUAAGUUGACGGGUCAACCCUUACUAUUUAUACAAAUAUUUGAUAGUUGUCAUUAGAAGUAAAAUCAUUGAUCGGUCCGUCGGCGUCCGUUUGGUAAAGUGUCCAACCAACAUCGACAUUGAUGGGUAAAGGUUGGUUAGUUUGGUUUUUUGUCGGGUCGAUUUAACACUUAUAAAUAAUUUUUGAAAAUUCUUAAUUUGAAACUUUUCGAAAUCUACUAUGACGGAUCGAUCUCGGCUUAGUCUCUUCUAUUUUUAAUUUAUUUUCUCAAAUUAUGGUGUUUGCUAUCAUUUUCCUUCGAUUGUCACAGUCGGAAAAACGCGCCAAAGCUUGGAAGAAUGAAAUAUGAAUGACGAAACUCAAAGACCCGAAGAAAAUUCAAAAACGUCCAAAUCUUUGACGACUUGACGAUUCAUUCAAUCUUCUUGACUUGGUCGCUUCAGGUGUUCUCAGUAGGCCAUGGACAAAUCCGGUUGGUGCCUCUCAAAAACAUGCGUAACUCUUCAAAUCCAACACUCUCUUCUGGUAAUUCUAGUUCAUCUAUACCCUUUCUUCCCAUUUUUUUUUUUUUUAAUUGCUUCGAGUUUGAUAAUAUGUGUUCUGAAUCUUCAAUUUUCCGUUUUAAGUUUUGUUUCUUGUUGUUCUACUUUCUUUUCACUUCCUUCCAUUGUUGCAGCUCCACCAAUUUCUCCUUCUCUUCUUUCCCCAAUUCCUCCAAUAUCAUUUUCGUCAACAGUGCCACAAGAGGCACAGUUUUCGAUCAUCCUUCUCUCCGGCUAACCGACAGCCAGAUUGGCGGCAGUGUCUUCAACAGCACCGGAAGAGCGUACUUCUCGGAGCCGAUUCAACUAUGGGAUCCAGCUACUAACGUAUCUUCUGAUUUCACUACUUAUUUUGAGUUUCAGAUCUCGUUUCCUAACGGGAUCUCGAACGUCUCUGGCGGUGGAAUUGCCUUCUUCAUAGCUUCCGAGGAUUCCGCAUCGCCUCCUUUGAAUUCCAGCGGCGGAUGGCUAGGGCUGUUCAAUCAGUCCAACGACGGAAAUCCGUCGAAUCAGAUCGUCGCCGUUGAGUUUGAUAUCUUUAAAGAUCCAUGGGAUCCUAGCGGUAAUCAUGUUGGCGUGGACGUGAAUUCCAUCGUCUCCAUCGCUAGUCGUACUUGGAGUAAUACAAUGGUUUCUGGAGAUAUUUUGGGUGCUCGAAUCACUUACAAUGGAACAUUGGGGAGAUUGGAUGUUACGCUGAAAGAUCCUCAGGUUCCAAAUGAGUCGAUUACGUUGAAUCUUACUGAUGUUCCCAUUGAUGUGAAGAGAAUUCUUCCGGCUAGAGUGAUCGUUGGCUUUUCUUCAUCAACGGGUCAGUCAAUCCCAAUUCAAGCAAUUAGAAGUUGGAAUUUCACAUCGAGUUUGGAUUUGAUUGAUGUAGCUGGAAUUGUUGAGGAAAAAUCCAAAUUGUGGAUUGUGGGUCUGGUUAUUGGAUUGGUUGGCUUGGUUUUUCUGUCUGGAUUCUUAUUUGUUGUUUGGUGGAGAAGAACAAAGAGGAAACAGAGAGAAAAAGAAGAGAGAGAUGGUGAUGAUGAUGAUGAUGAUGAUUUUGGUGAUGAAGAAAUUAGUAUGGUGGAGAAUGUUGUUGAUGAAGAGUUCAUUAGAGGAACAGGACCAAAGAGAUUUGCUUAUAAGGAACUUGUUAAAGCAACAAACAAUUUUUCUCAAGAAGGAAAACUUGGGCAAGGAGGUUUUGGUGGUGUUUACAAAGGUUUUGUGACAGAACUAAACAUGGAAAUAGCAGCAAAGAAGAUAUCAAGCACUUCCAAGCAAGGAAAAAAGGAGUACAUCUCUGAAGUCAACAUUAUAAGCCGUUUGCGACAUCGAAAUCUUGUUCAACUCGUUGGAUACAGUCACGAACGCGGCCAUUUCGUACUCGUUUAUGAGUACAUGCCGAACGGAAGCUUAGAUUCCCAUUUGUUCGGGAAAAAAUCACGCCUCUCCUGGCCUUUAAGAUACAAAAUAGCCCACGGCAUAGCCUCUGCCUUGCUCUACCUCCACGAGGAAUGGGAACAAUGCGUUGUCCACAGAGACAUCAAGUCAAGCAAUGUGAUGUUAGACUCAAACUUCAACGCUAAAGUAGGUGAUUUUGGUUUAGCCAGACUUGUUGAUCAUGGUCUCCGCUCGCCAACGACAGUCGUAGCAGGCACGAUGGGCUACCUAGCUCCAGAGUCCCUUCUCACAAGCAAAGCGAGUAAGGAAUCAGACGUGUUUAGUUUCGGGGUGGUGGCAUUGGAGAUAGCCUGUGGGAGAAAAGCAGUGGAACACAAUAAAGAAGAAGAAGAAAAGAUUAGUUUGGUGAAUUGGGUUUGGGGAUUGUAUGGACAAGGAAGACUUCUUGAAGCAGUUGAUAAGGCAUUGAAUGGAGAGUUCAAUCAAGAAGAAAUGGUGCGUUUAAUGACUGUGGGGCUAUGGUGUGCACACCCAAAUCAUAACCUAAGAGCUUCCAUAAGGCAAGCAAUUCAAGUGCUGAACUUUGAAGCCCCUUUGCCUAAACUCCCAACACAAAUGCCUGUGCCUAUGUUCUAUGCUCCCACAGCUCCCAAUGAAAACCCUUUUUCAUAUAUUUACUCAACCAACACAAACUCUCAAGUAUCAUUGCAAUCUGAUACAUCUCAGCCUGUUUCCUCCAAAUCAUCCUUGUGAUUUGUGCUUCCUCCUUUCUAUGGGGCUCAAGGUAAUUUCUCUAUUGCUCCUUUUGGUUUGUCUUAAAUUUAAAAUUGUGUGAAGAUGGCAUAGCUAGAUUGGUUAGCUUUUACUUUAAUUAAUUCCUUUUCUGUGAAAAAAAAAUUCUUCCAUCCAAUUGGAAAUUUGUGUAAGUUGGAAUGUAAAUGCAUUUGAUUUUGUAUAUAAAGUAGGGAAGUUAUAGCUAUUGGUGAGAAUUUUCCAACGAUUUAUUUGUACGGGAUAACUUUCUAGUUUCUAGAUGUUAUACUUAAACUAGUUGAGAAACAAAUGUAAUUUAGAUUAAGUCUUUUCUAAAUAGUAAUCUUUUUAACAUAUAAUGAAUAGUUUUAUACAUGUUAUUAUAUAUCUACUUCAAGUCACAAGAAUUAAUGCAAUAAUUGCUACUUUCAUGUAAAUGCAAGGUCUUUUGUUUUGUUUCUUUUACACAUAAAUGCAUGUUGCAUAAACAUUGGAAGGAUGGAUGCACUUAUUUCAUGAGUGUGUCGUGUAAGUUGUAAUCACUCAAUCUUGAACAGAUACAUCCAAAUAACAUCUAUUAUAUCUCAUCUCGAAGAGUGGUAUCUUGUCAUUAUCAAUUACAUUUAUUCAAUUAAGACUUAAUUUUUUAAAAAUAUAUACAUUUAUGUUGUAAACUAAAAAUCGAAAAGGUCGCAUCCACCACCUGACAAAGAAAUCAAUGGAGCCAAUGAUCUAUUAUUUGGCCUAAUUCAUUUUUCUUUAUCACUUCUUACUAUUAAGUUUUCUAAAUAUAAUAAUGUAUGUUAACAUAAAAAUAAAUAUUUUAGGAAAGUUUCUGGUAGUCAUAAAGUUUUCAAAUGAUUUGAUUUUCAGCAUUACUUAAGUAAAUUGUUUCAAAAAAAUCAAAUUUCUUCCUCUAAUAAAUUGGUGAAAGCAAGAAUCAACAAAUGACUUGUUCAAAAAAGAAAAGAUGGUAUAUUUGAUACAUACAAGUGCAUGAAUACGACAAUUUGUAUAAUAUAUUGUCUUUGAGUACACUAGAAAAUGUGUCGGGUUAAUUUUCAUUUUCAAAUGUAUGUUUGUAAACACAACAAUACUUUGGGAAUGAGUGGAUUUCAUAAUACAAUCAUUUUUACUUAUCACUUUCGUCACUCAGACAUAAAUUAAAAUAAAUAAAUAAAUAAAAUAUUUUAGUAAAGAAACCAGAAGAAUUUGUUACCUGACAAAUUAUGAUUAUACAAUUUGGUGAGAUGUAUAUGCACAGAAAUGGUGGAGUAUUUUUGAAAAGAAUAUUUAUGCAUGUUUUUACAUAUUUUAACAAUAUUACCAAUCCUAUUAGAUAUAUACUUGAGAUCUUCUUGAAAGAAAAAAAAAACAUUAAUUUGAAAUAUUAUGCAUUGAAUGAAUAUAUAUCAACAAAAUUAAUAAAUAACAAAAUAAUUUUAAUAAGAAAUUUUUUAAAAAAUUUAAAUUGGUUAAAAAUAAGAAAGAUUUAGACAAAAAGAAAAAAAAGAAAGAAAAAUCACUAGUAAUUUUCACAAAUGUCCUAAAUUUGAAAUUAUUUUUUUAAAAUAGAAUUUCGUAUAAAUUUUGAACAAUAAAAACCUUCUAAUAAUUAUAAAUUAUAUACUAUAUUCGUAAUAAAUUUAAAAUUAUUUUCUUAUUAAAGAUAAUAUUAAUUAAUUUCUUAUAUAAAUGUGUUAUUAUUAUGAAAAUUAUUUGAGUAUAUUUUUUUUAAUGAAGUAUUAAUACAAAAUAUAAUCCAAUAUGUAAUAUUAUUGAAAUUAAUUUAUCGUAACCGUGUAAAUUAUUUUAUCUUCAUCACCAAACCCUAUUCAAUUUUCAAUUAUCGUUGUCGGCCUUUUAUUUCUAUAACCUCAACUUUUCAAUUUUUCAUUGAGUUCAUUGUCAACAACCGUUCAUCUUCGUUACGUUAACCUUUAAUCAAUAAACAAACAUCUAAUUUUCUUUGCUUUUUUCUUUAUCCUUCAACAUCCUUCACAUUAACCUUACUAUUUUUCGUAGAUUUCGUUUCCUUUCGGUUAGUAUUUGGUCGGACUUUUCUUUAUUCAUUUUGUUCUUAGUAGACUUACAAUUAGUAUGAAUUUUCAAUUAUUUCCAUUAUUCUCCGUUUCAUAUAUUUCAAGAACAUAUAUAUAAAAUACACAUAUUUUACAAUAUGUUUUUUUGUCACUUCUCUAUUCUAAAUUUUCAUUAUCAUAUCGUAUACUACAUAAUUACAACAAUAAUUAACUAUAUACCCGUAAGAUAUUUGACAUGAUUUAUUAAAUAUAUACCACGUAUUAUUUACAAUUAUACUAAUUUUUUAAUAUUCCCGCAAUACAGAAUAGGUUAUAUAUUUAAUUUAUUAUAUAUAUACCACAUCUAACUUUCUAUUAUAAUAGCUUUUUAAUAUUUUCGUUAUUCAUAUAUACAAUGGUAUGCCACUAAAUAAUAAAUUUAUAUUUUGUGAUUUAUCACGUAUAUACUAAUGCAUAUAUUCAAGAAUACAUACAUAUAUUUUUUUUCAUGUUUUGUGAUUUUUUCUUAUUGCGUAUAUAUACCAAUAUAUACACAGAUUAUAUAUCCAUUCAGUUUUUUAUUUAUUAUUUUUUACAUAUAUACUAUUUAAUAAUUCAUUCAUGUUUUGUGAUUUGUUAUAUAUAUAUACUACUAUAUAUAUUCAAUAAUACAUCUAUAGAUUUUUUUUUUCAUGUUUUGUGAUUUUUUCUUAUUGCAUUUAUAUACCACUGUAUACACAUAUUAUAUAUUCGAUCAGUAUUUCUUAAAAAUUCUUACAUCUAUACUACUGCAUAAUACAUAUGUAUUACUUCAUAUAUUCAAUAAUACAUAAGUGAUAUUAUCUUCAAUAUACUCAAUAUAUAUACCUCUAAUGUAUUUCGAAUACGAAAUAUAAAUUCUUAUUAACCUUAAAUUUUUGUCAAUUUUUUUUCUUGAAAUAUCACUGUAUUAGUUAGCUGCCGAUGUUCUUCUUCUUCUUCACCGCUUAUAUUUCCCCCAAUCAUCUAUUAUUCGGCGUCUUUUGUGAAGAAUUAAUAUUCAAUGUAUUCGAAUAAUGAAACUUUUACUUUAUUUUUUUUAGUUUUCUAAACCGUAACUCACGUCUCUGAUUUCUCUCAUUGUCGGUCCACCUUCUAUAAACAAAUUGAUAUAAUAACUUUUCGUUAAUAAAAUAUACACCGCAUUAUUCAAUAUAUACUAUAAUUGGAUGGAAUAUAUGAAAAACGAACAAAAGAAUGGACAAAGAGAGAAAUUGAAAAGUGAGAGAGAGAUCGAGAGGAAAGAUGUUUUUGAACAAUAUCACCAAAAUAAAAAAAAUUAAGGGAAAAUCCUUGUUAUAAUAUUACCAUAACAAAAUUAAUCACUUACUAUAUUUAUAUAAGAUAUUUAAUAAAUACAAAUAUUAACCAUGAUCCACUUUCGUUUUCUUUUUUCUAUUUUUAAUUUAUUAUUAACAAUAAAGAUGGGUUACAUUGGUCAUUUAUGCCUUAUAUUUGUGUAAAAUAUUAGGCGAAUUAGGAUAUUCUAAAAAAAUUUAAGAAAUUUGGAUUAAUCUUGUAAUAUAGUAUACCAUUUUACGCUAUCUUAGGUCAAGACCCUAAAAAUAAACUUAAAAACCUAAUAAGGAAAUAAUUCAAUUUGAUGACGUGGCAGUGCAUGGUCCAAUAACAUUAGGACAUGUCAGCAUUUAAAUAAUAAAAGAGAAAACGAAUUUAAUAGUACUAAAUGGAUACAACGGUCAAAAGCUUUUAAAAGGUAAUAAUAUUCUAUUCCAACUAAUUUACGUCAACAUAUUCCUUUAUUAUUAUUAUUUAUUUUUGAGAUAAUACAUUUUGUUUUAAAUUACCAAAACCAUAAAAAAAUAGUAAGUAAAUUGCAUUAGAUGACAAUAAAAUUUAGAAAAAAGUAGCUCAUAACACUAUAACGAAAAUAAAACGAUAAUAUAUUUUGAAAAUGCAAGUAACAUGGACUCUAUUAUCAUAAAUUUUCUUUUGUUAUUUUUACAAAUUUCCUAAGAUAAUAUUUACAACUAAUUUUAAUUCCACUCAAUUUCCUAUAUCAUAAAAGUGAGUUAUUGUAAUAGUUUGAUCUUUAAUAUAAACGUGGAGGGAAUUUGAUUUGUUCUUCCUCGAAGAAAAAGAAUGUUAUAGCAGUUCGACUCUAGCUGUCGAAAGCUAGAGUCGAACUUUGAGUGACAUAUCUAACAGAAAGUAUGUGUGAGUUUAUAUCGAACAAAUAUCCAUUUUUCUCGUAAUUAUUUUUACAGUUAAUUUUUGUUAUUAUAUAUUUUAUUUGCAUGAAACCAAUUAUUGCAAUUUUCAUUAGUUCUAUAAUUUUGUUAUGUUGGUCAAAAGUGUUGGUUUUUAUUUUUUAAAUGGUCUUGAAAUGAAUUUAUUUGUAUCUAAUUAAUUCCUCUUUAAAUCAUUUGAUAGCGAAAACAUUUAUUAAUUUUUUUUAAAAAUUAGUUUUAAUUAGUUUGAAUAAUCCCUUUUGUGUAUUAAAAAAUAUCAUUAAUAUUAGUGAUAAGGUAAAAUAUCCUAAAUUAUUGAGACUAGUAUAUUAUAUUGCUGAUAUCCAAUAGAAGUUUUUAUGAAAUCAUAACUUAUAUAUAGGUGAUAUCAAUGACGAUCAUAUGAAUGAUAUCAGUGAUAGAACCUAGUUAGAUAUCAAUAGUUAUAUUAUUGUAUGACUAUCAAUUAUUAAAUUUGAUAGUAUGAGUUCCAUCUCAAAACCAAUUGACAAUGAGAGGAUUAAUCCAUCUAUCUUAUAUGGAGUAUGAGUAAAUUCCCUUGGUUUUUUCAAUGUGGAACUCUCAAUACUUCUCCAAUAUGUCCCCUCAAGAUGAUGUCUCUUUGGAUUUACCUAUUUUGGAUCGAAUACUCGUUUGAGUUUAAUGAGAUUUAAUACUAUAUUAAAUUUGAUAGUAUAGAGUUCCAUCUCAAAAUCAAAUUUAACAUCAAUGAUAUGAAAAUGAAGGCUAUAUUUUUAUAUAUUGCAUUACUAGCUUAUUUAAUGGGAGGGUAGUUUAGUAAAUUUGAGGCUUCUUUAAGAAAAAUUCUAAAUAAGGUUAUGUUUGCAUUUAAUUUUAGGUUUGGUUAUAUUUACAAUAACUUUUAUCUUCUCUCCCAAUUUUUUAUAUUUAUAUUUAUUAUUAUUAUUAUUAUUUAGCUUUAAAAACUUAUGGUCAAAAGAAACUUAUUCUCAUGAACCAAGCCAUCAACUUUUACUUUUUUUUUUUUUCUUUUAAAAGAAUUUCUUCUAUAACUAUACUUAUUGUCUUCUUGGAAAGAUAGAUAUAUUUCCAUCUUUUCAAUAAUAGAAUCAAUUUUUAUUUUAUCAACUCUUACAUUGUAAUGUAGUAGGGAAAAUUAAAAUGUAUGAUCUCAAAUUUAAUUUAAGUAAUUAGAGAUAUGUUUCUUGAUCAACGUGCAGUAAAUUUAUCUCUCUUUUUUUUUAAAAAAAAUAAUUUUGAUACAACAUAUGCAUGGAUGUUUGAGAAUUAAACAAGUUUCAAAUUCGGAGGUUGACAAAACAUUUUGACACACAAAUAUACUGAAGUGACAUAGAUACCGAUGGAUCUUAUCUCUUACAAAUUUUUAGUUUGACUAUCAUCCAUCCAUCCACAAUUUGAUAGACUUAUUUAAUAUAUAUGUGUCAAACAACCACGAUUCCUGAAAUAAAACCCCAAAGUUAAUUAAUUUUUACAUAAAACUAAGGUCAUCAAAAUGAGUUCUUUGCCAAGUAUUUGUUCCAAAAGGUGGAUUAAAUUCCCUAAUGUUUUGAUUCCUUGUUUGCAAGCCAUUGCAGAGCAUGGAAUAGAAGAGUUCAAGAAAAAACAUGAAGUGAGCCUGAUAUACAAGAACGUUGUUGAAGGUUGGUAUAAGGAGUUGGAUGAUCAUGGAAAUACUAUAAGGUACCGUCUUCAUAUUCAAGCAUACGAUUGUAUUAGACGUCUACUCAAAUUUGAAGCUGUUUUGCUCCAACAACAUGCUCAGAAUAAUGAAAAAUCUACCAUCACUCUUGAGUCUUUUGAACAGAUAAUUUCUUACCUCUAAAAUAAAGUAAACUAUAAUAUAUAUAUAUAUCAAACUUUCCUUUCCCUUUUUGUCUUGUGUUCUUCCUUCUAGCUCUCUACACACUUUGUCACUUAUUUGUAUGCUUUGUACUGUCUUUUGCUAUCUAUAUAUUGUCCUAUCUGAAUAACCAUAUGUAGUAAUGAGUCGUACGAGUUUUUUGUAUUAGGUUUGAAGCUUUUCGGGCAAGUUUUGUUUCUCUCUUUCUGUAAUCGCUCUAGCAAUUGUAUUGCGGAUCAAGGCGUUUGUUUUGAGUGAGAUUAUUAAUAGUUUUAUGAAGUGUUUCUAUUGAAAAAAAUAAAUAAAGCUAUAUACCAAACUUUCCCUUUUGUGUUGUGGUCUAUCUGAUGAUCUACAAUACAUAUUCUUUACCGCUUAUAGUGUUGUGUUUUGUAUUUCGCUAUCUAUAUAUCAUAAUUAACUAACCAUGUAGUAUUAGUUUCUAAGGUUUGUUAAAAGCUUCACAAAUAUAGUCUCUCCUCUAGCUAGCUAUGGUUGGGAUAUUAUUUAAAAGGAUUUUAACAAGAAACUAUUGGGAUCACUACUGUCUAUAGUUAAACAAAUAUGGAUUGGAUAUCAUUCUCAGAAUCAACAACACAUAAAGUUGAGGGAAAAAU
This 56619-nucleotide long non-coding RNA is filed under the name Cucumis sativus (cucumber). RNAcentral describes it as "long non-coding RNA (CSAT_LNC002658)". Lineage: Eukaryota; Viridiplantae; Streptophyta; Magnoliopsida; Cucurbitales; Cucurbitaceae. The record is from RNAcentral.